UAGAACUAAGCACCAUCUUCCUUUCCAGUAGGAGAAGAAUGAAUGAAUAAACAGGGACUAGGCGAUGUAUGGGCUCUGGAAUUACGAAUGCCUGUGAAUAUGUUGGCAGGAGUUGGCAUCUGAACACCGAAUCCUCUGUCAGUCUGUCUCACCUGGUUAUGUUGGAUUCAGUAUGAAUGAAUGUUUGGUGGUUAUGAGUUGAACUGGAUUGUGGUCUUGUUGCGCGCAUCACUGUCUGUCUAGUAUACAUGGUGAAUGUGAUCAUCUCAUGUCAUGUGUUGAUUGGCUGUGAGGAGAGAUGGACAGGUGUCAAUGUUUUUUGCAGUACAAGUUGACCUUUUUUUUGGCCUGUCCCUGUCCCUGUUUAGGUGGAGAUAACAGGUAGAGAAAAGUAGGAAAUUCAAAAAUAUUCUUGCACAUAUUUUAUGUGUGAUGAUCAGCAUUUUAUCUACUACCAUCUCAUUUGUUUGUUCGAAAUGAUCAGAGGAAAAAGAAGAGGAGUUGUUGGCAAGUCGACUCUUGCAGAUAUCUUAUCUAUUUCAUUUGUUUGUUUCAAAAUUGUUGGAAACAUGAAGAAGAAGAGUUGUUCACAAGUCGACUUUGCAAUCAUUGUUGCAAAUAAGUAUAAAAACAAUCAAAAGAAGAAACACAAUUGAAAACGUCGGCCUUUUUUCUUCUGUUUAAAACGGACAAGAUGCUAGUUGUUGUUCAAAAAAGAUCCAGACAAGGAACGGUCCCAGCAGCGCUGCCUUCUACUCCGCUUCUCCGAGAAACAGAGGAGAGGGAAGAAAGGCUUGAUCUUGACCGGCCGGCGUCCAUGGCGGCGGCGGCGGCGGCGGCGGCGGGGCAGCAGCGGGUGGUGGUGAUGCGGCACGGGGACCGGCUGGACCACGCGGAGCCCAUGUGGCCGGCCAACAAGCCGCGGCCGUGGGACCCGCCGCUGACGGACGCGGGCGUCCUCCGGGCCUGGACCGUCGGCAAGCGCAUCCGGGCGCAGGCCGCCGCCGACGGCUACGCGCUCCACCGCGUCCUCGUCUCCCCCUUCCACCGCUGCCUCCAGACCGCCGCCCAGGCCGUUGCCGCGCUCUGCGCCGUCCCCGACGACGCCGCGCUCGCCGCCGUCCUCGACUCCAGCGCCAAUGUGCCCCUCGACGCCUCCCGCGUCAAGGUCUGUUCUCUUCCUCCUCGCUCCCCUCUCCUCCCUCCAUUGCUCUGUGUUGGAUUCAUUCGCUCAUGCUCGCGUUGAUAUUGGUUGGAUCUGCGCCAUGUUAACAAACCUGAACUUGACUUGUUUUUCAGUUAACUGAAACACACCACAGAGGUUUCAGACUUUCAGUUAACUGAACUCAAGCCAAGUUAAACUGACUGACUGUUUGUACAGAUACUCAUUUUGAUUUAGGGUAAAUCCUAACAACAGUUUAGCUUUCCGAUUUGCGUCCUUAUAGCCGAUGAAUAGCUGGGGUAAAUGACUGUUCCUAACUUCCUAUUGCUUAAACCUGAACUGAAGGUUCUUUAUGUGCCACACACCUAAACUCACUCAAGUUGAUUCUCUGAAAGAAACUUAACUUGUUGGAACAGAGAUACUGAUUUAGGGUGAUUGUAGCAUUAGUUUAGCUCUACCGUCCUGCCACCGUGGUCGAGUUGCAUCGUGGAUUUGAGGUUCAACUGUUGUAUGCUUAGUGUACUCUCAUGCGAUUGCUGCUUCUACCCUCACUGCAUUUUCUGUUGCAGAUUGGUUAAACUAGUGCGGAGACUGAACUCUCAAGUUUGCUGUUCCUGCAGUCAACAGUUAUGUACAGUGAUAAGGAAUCUCUUUGACAAUUUCAGGUGUCGAUCGAGUAUGGACUGUCUGAGAUGAUGAAUGUUGAAGCGAUGGGCGCUCUCGUCAGCCAGGUCGCGCCCAGUGUCGAGAAGUGGUUCCCUGACUUGGCAGAACUCGAAGCCGUCUUGCCACCUGGAACCAUCGACCAUUCUACACAACCUCUCUUCCCGGAGGUCAGCUUGAUCCACGAAUUGUGAUUUCUUUCCUUUUUGCUGUCAACAUCCAUUUACACAGCCAGUAACCAUCUGUUAAGUCACCGUUAAUCCCCAGUGUCUGCUUUUCUGCACAGACCGACAAACAGGUUGUCGCAGAAAUCCAUCACAGAUACCUGAAACUGUCAUCUUUUUCCAAUGCAGGUACCCAAGUGGGGAGAGUCUGUGAGGGGGGCCAGAAUCAGAUACGCUAGCGUGAUCAAGGCUCUCGCCGACAAAUAUCCUGGCGAGAACUUACUCUUAGUAACACACGGUGAGUUCCAAAGCGUGUUGCCUCUUCUAUAGCAAAAUAACAGUUGAGAUUCAGUAUACCACAAUCACGCCACCGAUCAGGUGUAUUCUAUUGAUCCCAUUUUUACAAGCUGAGGUGGUUUGUUGUUUCUGCAGGGGAGGGCGUGGGUUCGUCGGUGGCAUGCUUCGGGGCGACGGGCAUGGAGGUCUACGAGGUGGAGUACUGCGCAUACGCCGUGCUCGAGAAGCAGCCUCUUCAGCCUGGCGGUGAGGGUGAUGGCGAGAGUGUGCUCAAGGUGGUGGCGGAUAGAAGCGGCCCGACCACGGGCAUACACUAUCUGGUCACCUGAUGAACACAAUCAAGCAGCAUGAUGCCAUCGCCAUCAUCAUACCACUCCUCCAGCACUGGACGGUCACGGGGAGCUUUAUUAGAUUAGUUUUGCAAUCCCUAUUUAUUUCCACGAGAUUUGAUGCUUGAUAUGUCGUUUUUAGAAAAUUGUGGUUGGUUCAUCCUGGAUAUUUUUUGUACUACCAAUCGUCGUGGUAAUAAUUCGCUAAACUGCCUUUUUUAGGACAACUUUGCAUUCAGUAUGAAUUUUUCCCCCGAAACGAAAGACAUAAGAUUUAACGCAUCCAUUAAUUAAGCAGGAGAUAGUUGUCUGAUUCUGAUGAUUAAUUAACAAAGGAAAAACGGACGAAACCGAUACAACACGGCCCAAGUCCACCCCCAAGCACCGAAACAUACCGCGCGCCCCGCACCGCCUCAAAAAGAAGAAGCCAUGACCGCUAUGGGAAGAGCAGAGACUCGCCUGUUGCAUCACAUGACAUGCCGAUGACCAACAUCGAACGAAUGCCACGUCGCCAACACGACUCUCCACAGCGAGAAUGAUACUAGUGAUCUGUCUUUCUGUUUGUUGAUCUGCGUACGACCAAAGCUACAUUCUAGAAGGUCCAGGUCGAUCAUCAUCUUUAUGCGUAUCAAUCUAGUCAUCUAGAUCUAGGGGUAUAUGGUCACGCGACGAUCCACGCAUACACAAAGGUGAGAGUGCACCAUCAUCGGUGGCUAUAGCUUUACGUUUGUGUUGUGUACCAAAAAUCGAACAGCAACAUAAAGACAAUGAAAUGAAAAGGAUGGAUCAUCUCGUCUUCCCUAAAGAAAAUGCAGUGCAAUCUCUACUGUCUCGUCAAUCGUCGGUCGUACGUCGAUGAUGUUUCGUGUACCUACUACGUACACGCCCUAUGUCAGACCCAAUCCAUGCCCAAAUCCCCUGUUAAUUAGUUAACGAUGAUGUGUACGUCUCAUACUGCUGGAUACUCCUGCCUUUGUGCUGCUGCCCCAAAGCAUGAAAGGGAUAAAAGAGAGAGGGAUCAGCCAAGCCAGGUGUGUGGGAUUGGGUGGUAGUAUAUGUGUAGAAUCUUCCGUCCUUGCCUUCUUUUCUUUUGUAGUAGUGAUGCACUAGUGCAAAGUAAGUCCUGUCGAUCGCAGCUAGCUGGAUCGAUCUAUGCCAUGCAUGCUCCUCACUAAAAUGACAUGCAGAAAAACCACUAGUAAUAACACCGUUUAUCCAACGUGAAAUUAGUCGAGGACUAGAGUUGAAUUCCACCCCUGCUCAACGCUACAUAGCGUGCACGGUAGAAACACAUUUUCGUCCCUAGUUACGUGCUUGUGUUCACUUUGUACUUACCCUAAGUCAACUCAUGCAUGGUAUGUUCCAGCGAUGCAUGCCCUUGCCUAAACAUAGCGAAUUACACCUCACGAAUGUGUGUAUCGUCUCGAAAAAGAAAAGGAAAGCAAAUGUGUGCAUCGCGCGCGCGCGCGCGCGCGAGAGAGAGAGAGAGAGAGAGAGAGAGAGAGAGAGAGAGAGAGAGAGAGAGAGAGAGAUGCUCAGCUAGGAUAAAUGAGAAUUGUGUUUUCUUUCGGAAGAGGUUAUUGCAAACGGAAAGAUGAGAUAUAGCCAUAUAGGAAGAGUGUGAGUUUUCUUUCUUUUUGGUUAUUACAUUCACUUCAUAAUACGGCUCUCAAAGCGCCCUCCGAUGAUUCCUUGGAUAGAUCAGUUUAUGGCAACUUGAUGUCUGAGAUCAAGGCUUUUUUGAAUGAUAGGCUUGUUAUUCCAGUUAAAGUUCUUCGUCGACAGAACAAAGCUGCAAAUAGUUUAGCGAACUUGGUAGAACCGGGAAUAAUACGGCUUGUUGGCGUGGGAAAUCCCCUCCAUGUGUUAACACUUUGGAAUAAUAAACCCUAUGAUCCCUCGCAAGAAAAAAAAUCUUCAUAAAGGUUUGGUUUCUCCUUUCCUCUCGUGUCUGUGGCGGUUAGGACACUUACCCGCUCCAAGCUUUGCCGAUGAGCUCGUGGAUCCAUCUCCCCUAUGCUUCGGUUAGUAGUUUACGUCCGGUUUUCUGCAAGCGGAAAGAGAAGAUAUAGGAAGAGUUUCUGUUUUUUUUUCUUUUGGGUUAUUACAUUUACAUUAACUUUAGUAAAGAUAUGGCUGGUGGUUACGGCGCUCACCCCCUCCAAGCUUCGCCGACGAGCCCUUCAUCUUCGAGUUGGCCUUUCGGGUUCCAAUCCUCUUCGAGUUUGUCAAUCGGGGCUGGCUCGAUGGAGCUCCCGUCUCCUUCGGCGACGAAGCUAUGGUUUCUCACCGUGCAUGCGUGACGACAAGAUUUGACGCCAGGCGCUUCGCAUCGAUUAAAUGGUUCAACAACGAUGUCUGCAACUCGGGGGGUGUUGGUCCUUGGACAUUGACAAAGUCAAAGUUGGCUUUGGUAGGGAAGCGACUUGUACUAGUGGCGUAGUGGCUGUUUAGUGAUGUAGGGUCCUUGAGGUGAUUUUUAUUAUGUCUAUGAUAUGAUGCGCUGUAUUUCUUAUGAACCUUGAGAUUUGUUUUUUUAAAUUUUUGUAAUGAAGAGAGACAUUUUUUGUGAUGUAUGGAGUACAUUGUAGUGAUGAGGUUUUGCCGCAAAAAAAAAGUGAUGAGGUUUUUUUUAAACUAUUUUUCGUUAUUAAAAGAAAGAGUGAUGAAUGCGGAGUGACACAGCACGUGGCAUGCUCGGUGAGUUGCUCCAAGUCGAGCGAGGACCGGGUCGCCGACACGUGGCCCCUACCUACCCACCGAAACCGAAACCGAAGAAGCCAACGCUAGACAAAAUUUGAGACCGCUAAACUGAUUGGUCCUGGUGGAUGUGAGUGAGGCUGAGGUGCGGUCCCCACACCACGUCCUCGUGCCGCUGGCGCUGGCGGUGGGAGGCAAGGCCAAACCGUCGGCCAUAAGCAUCCAACCCAACCCAACCCAACCCGAGAGACCCAUCCGUCCGCGCCGGGCCCGGCUGUAAACAUCUGCUAGGACGGACGGACGGACGGACGGACCAAGUGCCAGCCAAGCACGCACGCACACAGGACAAGAGAAACCGAACCAGAAGCAUAGGUAGCUGACGGGUCACGAUAAUAAAUAGGCACACCCCACGACCCCUUCCUUCCCAUCCCAUCCCAAGGGGCUCUCACUGGCUCAGUCCCCACUGCUGCUGGCUGAGCUCUCCCCUUCCCCCCAAAUUCAUCUCCAACUCCAGCCAAGAAUUAAUCAAUCAAUGGCGAUAGGGGGGGCGUUCGUGGAGGGCCCGGCGGGCGGCGCCGGGUACAGCGGCCGGGUCACCUCCUUCGUCGUCCUCUCCUGCAUCGUCGCCGGCAGCGGCGGCAUCCUCUUCGGCUACGACCUCGGAAUCUCAGGUUAUUAGCUACAUCCUCCUCCUCCUGCAAUUCUUCCACCGAGCAGACUAGUUCGUCUAGCUCGCAUUCCUUCCUUCCCCCCUUCAAGGGGAGUUCCUCAGAAUGAGGAGGCAUUUAACACCUACCCACCCACUGCCCGUACUCCUCCUCUGCACCCAUACGCAUGAUCCUUCGUUCACCACCACCACUUGCUACCAACAAAUUCACCUCAUCAACAUGACUUCUUUUUCUUCACUAGUGUCAAGAAAGAAAAUACGUCUUACAUUAUGGGCUAUGGGACGGAGGGAGUAGUAUAUCUCUUCUUGCGAUGAUCAACUCAUCACCAUGACUUGCUUAAUUCACCGUCUCAACUCUACACUACUCCCUCCGUAAACUAAUAUAAGAGUGUUUAUAUCAUUAAGUAGGGGGAGUACUACUUAAUUCUAGUAGUACCACCUGUCAAACUUUUUUUCCAGUAAAACCUGUCAAAAAAAAACUAAUUAAUUAAUCCUAGUACACAGCAGCACACCAAUGCAUAGUAAGAUGUGAACGAUGUGAUUAGCCAACCCAGUUAACAAUAACUACUGUAUGUACUCCUGCAUACAAACAUGAUGUGAUUCUGAUGUUGAUUGAUGGAUGCACUGAAUACACACUACAGGCGGCGUCACGUCCAUGGAGUCGUUCCUCAAGAAAUUCUUCCCGGACGUGUACCACCAGAUGAACGGCGACAAGGCCGCCGUCUCCAACUACUGCCGCUUCGACAGCGAGCUGCUCACCGUCUUCACCUCCUCCCUCUACGUCGCCGGCCUCGUCGCCACCCUCUUUGCCUCCACCGUCACCACCCGCUACGGCCGCCGCGCCUCCAUCCUCAUCGGCGGCUCCGUCUUCAUCGCCGGAUCCGCAUUCGGGGGCGCCGCCGUCAACGUCUACAUGCUCCUCGUCAACCGCAUCCUCCUCGGCAUCGGCCUCGGAUUCACCAACCAGGUACUCCCUACCCUAAGUGUCACAUGCUCAAUUAAUUAGCUAGUCUUUAAAUAAAAUUCCAGUCACAAGCAAGUCCAUGAUCCAUUGACUUUGACACUUGGUACCGAACUUGAUCACGAGAGGCAGACGUCGCUCUGUAAUUUGUCCUCAUCAAAGCUUCCACGCGCACACACACACCCGAGAUUACUUAGUGGACUUCGUUUUCUGCAAGUACCUUUCUUACAUCACCAUUCCAGUCUAGCCAGAAAGCAACCGGUUGCGGUCACCGUCUCACUGUGGAUCCACUUUUGUCCUUGUCAAAAUUGGCAAGUGGCACCACACCUACACACUUCAUUAGUACUGUCCACAGAUUAUUCAUUCAUAUUAUCAUAUAGAAUUACCUCAAGGGAAAAUAUUCCGUUUGAGAGUGCGCAUCAGUAAUAAUCAAAGUCAAGUCAGCACAAGUCAACUUUUCAAUCUUUUAUUAUUGUGGCCAGAAUGAAUUGGUGUAAUUUUUAGUUUGGGGAAUUAGAUGGAUUCUUUCUACUUUAUAUACAACACGGCAAUUCGGCAAUUAGAGAAAAACAGCAAGAAACCAACAAAAUAUAUCAGUGUCUCAACUUGCUACAGCAAUGUGCUGCCUGAACGGAAAUGUUACGUUUGGGAUAUUUCAAGUUUAUAGCUGCAAAAAUCAAAGUCAAGUCAGCAGUCUUCUUCAUGGACACAGCGACAAUUUAGCCCACAAGUCAAAAUUUCAACCCUUAUUAAAUGUCGCCAGAAUGAAUUGGUACAAUUUCUAUUUUGGGGAAUUUGAUGGAUUAUUUCUUUUUAAUUAAAAUACCGGGAUUCAUUCGUUAGAUCAAACCAGGAAGAAACCAACAAAAUAGAUCAGUAUCUCAACCUGCUAAAGUGGUGACCAUUCACAUCCGUGAAAGAGCAGAAAAUGAAGUUCACUAUGAUCAUCACCAAAAGCAACCACCAGCGCAACAUGUUUUUUUUGCAAAAAGAGAAAUACAAGAUGCUCUCUCCUGAAACUUUUAUGCUGUCUCAACUUUCUUUUCAUAUUCGUAAUCUAGAAAGUAUAUUCAUGUGUCCUCCUUGUGAUAUGCUUUUGCAAAAAUGAAAUACAAGAUGCUAUCUCCUGAAACUUUAUGCUGUCUGAAUUUUCUUUUCAUACACAAUCUAGAAAGGAUAUUCAUGUGUCCUACAAGUAUAUCUUUUUCAGGAUAAUUGCAGGUUAGACUUCUAUUGUACUGGUAACUAACUAAUGAGUAAAUUGCCUUGCAGUCGAUUCCACUGUACCUCUCGGAAAUGGCGCCGCCGCAGUACCGUGGCGCCAUCAACAACGGCUUUGAGCUCUGUAUCAGCAUCGGCAUCCUCAUUGCGAACGUUAUCAACUAUGGAGUGCAGAAAAUCGAAGGAGGAUGGGGGUGGAGGAUAUCACUGUCCAUGGCUGCUGUCCCCGCUGCAUUUCUGACUAUCGGUGCGAUCUUCCUUCCUGAGACCCCGAGCUUCCUGAUCCAGCGUGAUGGCAAUGUCGACGAGGCGAAGAUGAUGCUCCAGAGGCUGCGUGGCACGAUGGGGGUUCAGAAAGAGCUCGACGAUCUGGUCACCGCUAGCAACAUAUCCAGAGCAAUCAAGAACCCGUACCGGAACAUCCUGAAGAAGAAGUACAGGCCGCAGCUCGUGAUAGCGCUCCUCAUUCCUUUCUUCAACCAGGUCACGGGAAUCAACGUGAUCAACUUCUAUGCGCCGGUCAUGUUCCGGACCAUUGGGCUAGGGGAGAGUGCAGCACUCAUGUCAGCGGUCGUGACACGCCUCUGCGCCACAGUCGCCAACAUCGUGGCCAUGAUCGUCGUCGACAAGUUCGGGCGAAGAAAGCUCUUGCUGGUAGGCGGUGUUCAGAUGAUCCUGUCGCAGUUCACUGUCGGUGCGAUCCUGGCUGUGAAGUUCAAGGACCAUGGAGUCAUGGAUAAGGAGUAUGGAUACCUGGUCCUGAUCAUCAUGUGCGUGUUCGUGGCAGGGUUCGCCUGGUCCUGGGGACCUCUCACCUACCUGGUGCCAACAGAGAUCUGCCCGCUGGAGAUCAGGUCGGCAGGGCAGAGCGUUGUGAUUGCGGUCAUCUUCCUGAUGACCUUUGUGAUCGGGCAGACGUUUCUCAACAUGCUGUGCCAUCUCAAGUUCGGCACCUUCUUCCUGUUUGGCGGGUGGGUGUGCGUGAUGACGCUGUUCGUCUUCUUCUUCCUGCCGGAGACGAAGCAGCUGCCCAUGGAGCAGAUGGAGCAGGUGUGGAGGAAGCACUGGUUCUGGAAGAGGAUAAUUGGGGAGGGGGAAGAAGAGGUGGAUCAGGCACAAACUGGUGCAGGAGCCAUAGCCAUGUCCACCACACCACAUAGCAGUUAGUGACAUUCUUUUGGGGGGUGUAAAACCUGCACCCAGAAAUGAUGAACUAGUAUAUCUGCAUGUACAAGGUGAGGUACUCAUAUAGCCAUAAUAUAUAUAUACUGUAUGUAUCCUAACUCAAGUCAAUAGUUCAGUGCAGCUGUGAGUAUGAAUGAAUUAAUGUAACCUAUAUAUAAGUUGAUGUUUGGAAUGGCAGAAAGUAAUAAGGUAGGAGUAUAUUGCAGAGCAGCUUGACUAAAUAAGAUACGGUUUUGUAAGCUCUGCUUAUAACUAGAGAUGCAUGUCAGAAGACAAGCCCUCACCUGUGCUCCUGUAUAUGAAAGAAACCACCUUAUAUAUGAUGAUUGGGUUUUCAUCAAAGUGCAAUGAUCUAUCUAUCUAUCUUGGGACUCAGAUAAUGUCUCUUCUGUGAGGGCACUCAUUUACUCACAUCAUAUUUGUCAUGAAACAAGACUGCUGACUAGAUCAAUGUGCUCAUGUGCAGUCCAGCUUCCUGUGCAGUGAAAUUGGCAAGCAAUGGCAGCAUGCCACUCAGACAGAGAAACAAACAUGCCACAUACUGAAUUGUAGCUAGCAUUUACAGGUUAUUAUUCAUGCCUUGUCAAAAACGAAAUCGAAAUGCUACUAGUGGUUGCUGCUUUGACCCUAAAUCCUAAGGAAAAUCCUGUUGGGAGUCAAAUGAGCUAGAGCUAGGGAUCGAUUAAGUGGAGGGGAGGCAGGCCUGGGUUGCCAUAGGGGAGUGAAUCCAUGGUGAUUCAGCAGCUCGGGGGUGGAGGAACGGAAGCGGAGGGGUAUACCUCCGGUCGGAGCUCUUCGUCGGAAGGGAGCAGCGCACGGCCGUCCGGCGAGAUCAUCUUCUUCCCAGCGGCCGGCGGCGACCGCGGUUCCUCCCCUCCAGCGGCGGUCCGGCUCAGCGUGCAGCGGCGACAGUUUUUUUUUUUNNNNNNNNNNNNNNNNNNNNNNNNNNNNNNNNNNNNNNNNNNNNNNNNNNNNNNNNNNNNNNNNNNNNNNNNNNNNNNNNNNNNNNNNNNNNNNNNNNNNNNNNNNNNNNNNNNNNNNNNNNNNNNNNNNNNNNNUGACCGGCCCACAAAGCCAGCGUGGCCCAUGCGACCAGGUCCGUUCCGUCCUACAAACUCCGCACCCCUCUGCUCUCUUCUUCCAUAACCGCCGCGCCGUAGCGUAGCUUCCCUCCUCUCUCCUCCUCCUCCUCCUCCGCUCCGGGGGCCUCGCCGUCGCCGUCGCCGACGCCGACGCCGGCCGAAGUGAAGCGCCGCCCGCGCUCCACGGGUAAGCCCCGCCGCACCCCCCACCAAAUGCAUGUGAAACCCCUCCGCCGCUCGCUCGCGCCGCGCCCCCUACCCCAGAGCGCGCGCGACCGCUACCGCUCGGCUCGCUCGAGAAGCCCUAGUCGUCGGCGGUGGCGGAGGCGAGGCUUCGCGCGCCAGACGCAGCGGCGCAACCCCUGUGCACCUCUCGCUCGCUCGCUCGCUCUUCCCCGACCAGAGCGCGCGCGCGCUCGACUGCUCUGCUCGGCUCGAGAGGCCGUACCCUAGUCUAGUCGGCGGUUCCGCGCGCGGCAUCCGCGGCGGCGGAACCCCUGUGCUUGUCUCUCUCUCGCUGUUCUCCGACGAGGGCGCGUCGGUAAUUUCCUGCUUCUGUUGCUGAUCGAUUUCAUUUCCCUGCCUCUCGCUGAUGAACAGGGCGUGCGGCUGAUCCACCGAUGGCCGCCAACGAGGGAGACGGGACCGGAGCGGGCGCGGCGCCCACCGUCGUCGGGCUGGCGCUCGGCGGCUCUAAAUCCAGCGCCUACGUCCUCCAGUGGGCGCUCGCCAACUUCGCCAGGGACGACGCGCCUCCCGCCUUCAAGCUCAUCCACGUCCUCACCCCGGUCCUGGCCGUGCCCACGCCAAGUACGCACGCUGCACCUCUGCACGCCCCGCUCCUUCUUACCUCGUCGCUUCCGCCCGCUUGAGUUGCUUCCGCUACAUGCUCACCAUCUGUUUGUGCCUGUGCCUGUGUGCGGCUUGCCUUCAGUGGGGGGCCGCCUCCCGAUUGAUGAAGUCAAGUCCACCGUCCUCGACGACUAUCUCGGGAAAAAGUGGAUCAAGAAGCAGCAAAUGCUGUUCCGCUGCAAAGACACAUGUGAUGAAAACAAGGUGGUUUCAGUUAGCAACUACUCCAUUUCCGUUUCAUGUUCUAGACUGAAUCUGAAUGAAUUCAUGAAUGAAUGGAUGGAUCGACCCCCUUGUAUGUUGCUUGGAUUUAUCUGUUUACUUAAUUGGAUCAGGUUGGCUUGCCUUAACAAGUACUACUCCAUUUCCAUUUCCUAUUCUGGACUGACUGAAUGAAUCCAUCAUCCCCUUUGUCUGUUGGUUGAAUUUAUUUGUUUACUUAUUACUAGGCCCAGGUUGGCUUGCCUUAACAAGGAGCAUGUUUCCACUUCCUAUUCUAGACUGACUGAAUGAAUGCAUCAACCCCUUUGUCUGCUGGUUGAAUUUAUUUCUAAAGCACAUCUAGAUGUGCCAUAAGUAUUGCACAUCUAAGUCAUAUGCCAUUGAUCUUACAUUGAGAUUCGUGUGAAUAUUUUCUUUCUCUUUUUUCUUUUUCUCUUUAUGCUUGAUUCACUCACUUAGAUGUGCAAUAACUAGAGCACAUCUAGAUUAUUUGUUUACUCACUAGUCACAGGUUGAUUUGCCUUAACAAGGAGCAUGUUUCCAUUUCCUAUUCUAGACUGACUGACUGAAUGCAUCAACCCCUUGUCUGUUGGUUGAAUUGAUUUCUUUACUUUCUUGGCUCAGGUUGAAUCUCUCCGUAAAGAAAUAUAAGAGCGUUUAGAUCUAAAGUAGUUAUCUAAACGCUCUUAUAUUUGUUUACAGAGGGAGUACUUGCUAAUUCAAAUGCAUGUGGGUUGGAUUUAAUUGUUUACUUAAUUGGCUAAGGUUGACUUGACUCAACAAGUAGUCCGUUUCCAUUUCAUAUUCUACACUGAAUGAAUGCAUCAACCCCUUGUCUGUUGGUUGAAUUUAUUUGCUUGCUUACUUGGCACAGGUUGACUUGCCUUAACAAGCACAUCUCCAUUUCCUAUUAUAGGCUGACUGGAUGAAUCAACCCCUUUUCUGUUGGUUGAAUUAAUUUGUUUACUUACUCGGCCCAGGUUGAAGCUCAAGUACUGCUUGUUGAGGGUAACGAUGUCGCGGAUACCAUUUCCAGUCUUGUUUCUCAGUACCAGAUACAGAUCCUCGUUGUCGGUAACUCUUCCAGCAUGAUCCCGUUCACUAGGUAGCUCCUCAUACUCAUACUCAUACCUGUACUGUACUAAUUCGUGGUGAAUAAUAAUUAUUGUGCAUGCUCCUGUUGAUCAUUGGAUGAUAUAUGUCUUAUAGGAUGUCCAGUGUAACUAGGACGUCCUCCAAAAUCUGCAAGAGUGUCCCCAGCUUUUGCACAGCAUAUGUUGUUUCAAAGGAUGGAUUGUCUUCAGUUUAUGCUUCUGAAUCAGAAAGUGGCUCGCCCUCUGGCUCUCUAGUACCAAAAGGCAACUCCGGGAGCUCCGAGACCGAAGAAUUUAUAGAUUCCUCAAUAUCAGGUAAGGCCCCAUAGUCGUCAAGCUACCAUCAAAUAUUUCUCACGUAUUGUUCCCUUCCUGUGCAUCUUUGGCGUGCAGUAUAUUCCUUCGCAUUUCUCAUUGCUGCUGGAACUGUGAAACUGCAGCAAGCUUGCAUGAAGACAUAAGCCUAUUAUUGUUUCUAAUACUUGGCUUAAAAGUAUAAUAUCAAAUGCAAAGAUAGACAAGUUGGAGUUGCUUAUUUCCCCUUCUCAUCAUCUGAAUGUUACCUGUUCCCUUGUCUCGUCAGAUUUGGAUGACAGUUCAGGGCGGGGCGUGCCACGCUCCAACUUGGCAUCAGAGAACCUUGAAAGUAUUUCUUCUGUUGAAGGUUUUAAUCUAUAUGAUUAUAUCACUGGAAAUGAAUCAGUAUAUGCCAACAAGGACAGAAAAAUUACCCCAUGCACUGGUGCUCAAAGCUCUAUAUCAAGUCAAUCUCAGGGUUCAGACAAGGUGCCAACAAAAGAAAGUUCACUGCUGGGAUUCAUGCUUUCAGACAACAAGGUUGGUGGUGCAAUUUCUUGGUUAUUGACAGGAUUUUAAUUAUAUGAACAUCUUCAUUGAAACUAUAUUUACACAUCCAACACAUAGCUUUUGUUUUGGUUAAUUGCAGGGUUCGGGCAAGGUGCCAACAAAAGAAAAUUCACUGCUGGGAUUAAUGCUUUCAGAGAACAAGGUUAGUGGUGCAAUUUCUUGGUUAUUGACAGGAUUUUAAUUAUAUGAACGUCUUCAUUGAAACUAUAUUUACACGUCCAACCCAUAGCUUUUGUUUUGAUUUUUUUCCCAGAUAACAUUUAACAUAUUAAAGAUUCCCAGUUUUUUCGCUAACUUUGCCACAGUAGUUUGUUUUCCUCCAAUCCGAUUGGUAAUGAGUUACUAUGGAGUUCGCACGUGCCUUAUGGAUCUUGAAUUAUUAUAGAUGCAUUCCUUAAUUAGGCUAUUAUAGAUGCAUUCCUUAAUUAGGCUAUUAUAGAUGCAUUCCUUAAUUAGCCAAAUUUACUGUUGCGCUGGAAAAAGAUGUGAAUGGAAUAUGGUAUGUUUUGUGGAUUGCACUCUAACUCUGCUCUGCUCUCAUAACCUGUGCCAAUGCAGGAUGAUAUCAGUGCAGAGCUUGAAAAGCUGAAGCUUGAACUGGGACAUAUACAGGGAGCAUAUAAACUCGUUCAGGAUGAGUCUGUCGAUGCAUCUCAUCAGGCAAGUCAGUGGUUUGGCUGCUGUUAAAAAAGGGUGAAUUUACCAAUUCAGCACAAAUGAUUAAAUCAUCUUGCCUCUGAUCCUUAUUGAUGUCGAUCAGGUGAAUGAAUUAGCUGCCAGGCGCAUGGAAGUGGAAGCUCAGUUAAGUGAGAUACAGGCCAGGGUGGAUAAGGCCAAUGACGAUGUACAGGAACAGAUGGCGCAGAGACUCCUCGCAGAGGAGGCAGCAACCCAAGUAAAGGAUCUUGUGAGGGCGGAGGUUAUGCAGAAAAAUAGGCUGCUGGCAAAGGCAUCCAAGGACGCUGAUAGGAAGGCGAGGCUGGAGAAGCUCCUUGUGCUUCAAGGCGACUCGUACUCGACGUUCACUUGGGAAGAGAUUGAUAACGCUACAGCAUCAUUCUCAGAGUCACUCAAGAUCGGAACUGGGUCUAAUGGGACUGUAUACAAGGGCCAUCUCAACCACUUGGAUGUAGCGAUAAAGGUCCUUCAUUCUAAUGACACCUCCAGUACCAAGCAUUUCAAUCAAGAGGUACGUAUUGGCUGAAUUCAUUCUGUGCUUCUUCUUCUUCUUCUUCUUCUUCUUCUGGUGAGAUGUUUGUUUAUUAGGCAGCACUGUGUGUGUUUUUAAUGGCAUUUUCAUCAUGACACAGUGAAGCAGAUAGGGUCCCAUCUUGAGAAUUUUUAUGUCAAGUUAUUAAGUGACAAUGUUCAAAAAAAGUUGAUGCAAGUGCCUGUUUCUGCAGCUUGAGGUUCUGAGCAGGAUACGCCACCCACACUUGCUGGUGCUCCUGGGAGCCUGUCCGGACAAGGGCUGCUUGGUGUACGAGUACAUGGAGAACGGCAGCCUUGCGGAUCGUCUGCAGCGCAGAAAGGGCACACCAGCGAUCCCAUGGGUUGAUCGCUUCCACAUUGUCUGGGAAAUUGCUUCAGCCCUGGUGUUCCUGCACAGCACAAAGCCCAGCCCAAUCAUCCACCGUGACCUGAAGCCUGAAAACGUCCUCCUCGACAGAAACCUAGUGAGCAAGAUUGGUGACGUGGGCCUGUCAACCCUGAUGCCACAGAAGGAGACUCUGUCAAACCGCACGGUGUACAAGAGGACGGGUCUGGCGGGCACACUGUUUUACCUGGACCCGGAGUACCAGAGAAGCGGGCAGGUGUCGGUGAAGUCGGACACGUACGCGCUUGGCAUGGUGAUCCUUGAGCUGCUGACGGCCAAGUCACCGAUCGGACUACCUGAGCUGGUGGAGCGAGCAGUGGAAGACGGCCAGAUUACUGAUGUCUUGGACAAGAGUGCAGGGGACUGGCCCGUGAAAGAAGCGCAUGAACUUGCCCAGCUAGGGCUAAAGUGUUUGGAGAUGCGGAGCAAGGACCGGCCUGACCUCAAGAGCGUGGUGGCGGUGGAUCUGGAACGGCUGAAGCAUGGCACGGCCGUGCCAGGCUUGGCCGGACCGCCCAGCCACUUCAUGUGCCCAAUACUCAAGGUACGUUUUCUAGACUAGAUUUAUGAAUGUGGCAGUUUGUGUGAUACAGUAGAUAGACAGGCUGAUCAUUUUUGGUGCAUGCACGUGUGAUUAAUACAGUACCUGUGUGUGUGUGUGGGGUUGGUGCAGAAGGUGAUGCAGAACCCGUGCCUGGCGGCGGACGGGUACUCGUACGAGCGCGACGCGAUGGAGAUGUGGCUGUGCGACCAGAACACGUCGCCGGUGACCAAGGCGCGGCUGCGUGACAAGAAGCUGGUGCCUAACCUGUCUCUUAUGAGCGCCAUCGCGAGCUGGAUGGCCCAGGGGGGGAGGCCCCUGAUGGAGUGAGGCUCAUGGUAAAUACGUACUAUGCUAGUCUAACAGAGUGCUGCACAUAUCAUCGGGGCUUGGUUGGGUUUGGGUUGGGAGACAAGGUUUAUGCCAGGUAUAGAAGAGAGCAGAGAGUGGGCUUUUGUGUGUCCGUUCUUUGGUACCAACUGCUUCUGCGUAACGUCAAGGAGCGAUUUUGCUGCAACCAUACUUGUGUUGGUUAUCAUACCACUACUACUAGGUAAGUACUAUAGAACACUAGUAGAGAUGUCCAGGACCAGGAGAGGAGAGGAGAGGAAACCCUGAGUUGAGUUGGUCUAAAUAGAAUACGGAAAAUUUUGGUUGGAUCGGAUCGGAUUGGAUUGGAUGGAUGCCGAGGUUAUGCUGUGCUAAUGUCUCUGGCAUUGAUUGAAACUUGGAGGAUAUAUGGCUUUGUCGUCGUUGUUGGCCUUGUGCUGUGAAGCCCUGCAGAUUGAGAUGACAGGAAUGGAAUGUGGAUAUCGUCUUGGGUGCAGUUUUUUUUUUUGGAGCAUAAUCAGACUUUAUUUCUCAAAUAACUGUCAUAUCAUUUACAAGAUGGUGAGAAAUAAAGCCAGGGAUGAUAGCAUCCCAAGAACUACAGAAUUCGAUCUAAAAGACUGUUUUGCUAACUCAUUAGCCACUUGGUUUGCUUCUCUGAAACAAUGCUUGAACGUGAUUUUUGCAAAGUCGAUGGAGAGUUGCUUACAUUCAAUAAUAACCGUCUUGCAUUAAACAAGAUCAAGAUAUAAUGCUCAUGCUCAACGCUGGCACCAAAUAACAAUUAUUCAGGUCUAUAACUAAUCCUAGAGAUAGAUGUAGAGGUAGCGUGCCGAUGACGAUCACAGCGACCUUGGAACUCCUGACGCGCAUCAUCACCUCGUCCUUAGUUAAUCUUCGUUUAAUCCGUAGCCCCUAUUUCGAGUUGCAAAUAUGAGCAACAGAACAGUAUCAAAUACCCAAGCGCUACUAUGAGCAUUAGUAAGGUACACACCAGUAACAUGUAUAUCAAAUAUACCUUUGUUCACUUUACCAUCCUUCUUAUCCGCCAAAUACUUGGGGCAGUUCCGCUUCAAGUGACCAGUCCCUUUGCAGUAGAAGCACUCAGUUUCAGGCUUGGGUCCAGACUCGGGCUUCUUCCCAGAAGUUACAACUUGCUUGCCAUUCUUCUUGAAGUUCCCUUCUUUCCCUUGCCCUUUUUUUUGAAACUAGUGGUCUUGUUAACCAUCAACACUUGAUGCUCUUUCUUGAUUUCUACUUCCGCAGCUUUGAGCAUAGCUGUAGCGACCCGACCUCAAACGUCAAGUCUCUGUGCUUCAGUGUCAUCCCUGGAUCGGUAAUGCUGACACACACAAUACUCGAAGGAUUUAUAAUAGAGUGGCAAUCACACACUUAUUACAUCGAAUGUCUCAAGAGAGAAUUUAUUACAAUAAAUAUGGCUUAUGGCCAUCUAAUACGAAAACAACGGAAGACUCGAAAGAUAAAGUGAGUCCAUCAACUCCAACGACAUAGCUGAGUGCAUGACAACGACCUAUCGCACCUUUACUCGUCGUCUGAAAAUCUGCAACAUAAUACGUUGCAGCCCGAAAACGGGUCAGCACAUGGGAUAUGCUGGCAAUGUAACACAGUAGAGCAAUGAAUAGAUAAAUGCUAUCACUACAUGCAUAUAUGGCUGGUGGAGGCUCUAUGGUUACAAGGUUUUUGCGAAAAGCCAAUUUUUUCCUACAACAAAGGAAUAUAUUUUAUUUAACUAUCAAAGUUGGUUGAAACAUUGAGAGUGGUACCCUCUUCUCAAUCCCAAUUAAAAGUAAUUAUCAUCCCAGCAAAUUAAAUUAGAGUGAUGAGAUACAGUAGGAUAAUCCAAAUACUAGAUAUAUACUCAAGAUGUCCAUAACCGGGGACACGGCUAACCAUGAUUAGUUUAUACACUCUGCAGAGGUUUGCGCACUUUUCCCCACAAGACUCGAUCUCCUCCGUUGUAUUUCUCACACUGCAGGGUGUUUGAGAAAUGGAUGACCGAGACACAGUCUUCAGAAGCAUUAACUCUUUACUUCGGGUGGACAGUUACACCUACUUUCCCUCUACAUCUGCUAGCCCACCACUGAAAGAUGCCACACAACAUACUCAACUAUGCUAGAGCCCAUAAUGGCUUGUGGCUGCACACAGAAGUUUCUAGCAUGAAUAAUCUUAUGAUCCCUUUGAGCCUGGGUGGCGGACCGUAGGAGGAUCACACGGUAUAACCCCGGGAUCUCCUAGGACAACACUGGUAUAUCCCCAGGUACCCAAAACAAGCAAUCCACCCAGAUGUGUAUUAAAGUUGCCACCUUAAGUUGAACCAUUAAUUAACAAUCUCACAUCUGUCAUGGAUACACUCAAACCCAAUCCACGUCUACGAGCAUAACAUAGCAAUAUCAGCAUAACGUAGAAGUAACUCUCAGAGGUUUGAUAAUAAAACAUGUAAUAGGUUCUACCUCAUCAUCUACUUCCCAAACCCACAUGUUAAGAGAUCCUACUCAUGCAAUGUGUGAGGGGUUGAAACUAAUGCAUAAAAUUGGGUGAUAAAGGGGUAUGAUCAAAGUGUUACUUGACUUGCUAAUGAUCCACAAAACCUAGAGACUCGUAGUAGCACGCUUCGCACUCCGGGUGUUCUGUCACAAACAAACAAUAGCAUAUAUAAGCAACCAAGCAAAGAUGCACGGGUAAAACUCAAAUAAGAAUAUCUAAUCAGAAAGUUCAACUUAAGAAAUCCGGUUUGCAAAAAGAAUCAAAUCAAACGGAGCAAUGAAACUCAAACGACGAAAGAAACAAGAUCCGGUUACUACUCUGGACUAAAGUCAAAUUUUACAGUACCAAAAUCUUGUUUAAGUUGGUUAAACGGAAAGAGGGUUUCGAGACAAAGAUCCAGGUGCUUGAAUCGCCUGAUUCCGAUAAACGAGCGAAAAGAUAAACUAAAACGAAAAUGGGAUCAGAGAUCACGAUCAAGAAUAAUCGCAAAAAACCCUGGAAAAAGAAAAACGGACAAACAGGCUAACGAACGAACGUUCGCUCUCUGUGACUAACGGGUGAACGGCAUUCGUUAAAACGAACGAAUGGACGAACGUCCGCAAAAUAAGUAAACUGAUCUAAUAAAAUAAAUCACGAAAAUAAAAAAACGGAUCCAGAUGUAUGGUUUACCGAAAAAAACGGCGGCGGCUAACUCCGGCGAAGUCGGCGGCGGUGGCUUGCGCGGCGGCGGCUAGCGGCGGCGCGGCUAGGGUUGCGGGGUGGGGCGGCGGGGUGNNNNNNNNNNNNNNNNNNNNNNNNNNNNNNNNNNNNNNNNNNNNNNNNNNNNNNNNNNNNNNNNNNNNNNNNNNNNNNNNNNNNNNNNNNNNNNNNNNNNNNNNNNNNNNNNNNNNNNNNNNNNNNNNNNNNNNNNNNNNNNNNNNNNNNNNNNNNNNNNNNNNNNNNNNNNNNNNNNNNNNNNNNNNNNNNNNNNNNNNNNNNNNNNNNNNNNNNNNNNNNNNNNNNNNNNNNNNNNNNNNNNNNNAAAUAAAUAAAAAAAUAAAUUCUAACGCACGGAAAAAAAAGAAAAAGAAUACUAAACGGACUCCAAAAAUGCCGAAAUAAUGUUUCCCCAUCCUCUAAAAAUAUGCCGGACAAGGUGAACAUUUAUUUGGGCCUAAAUGCAAUUUUGAAAAACACGUAUUUUUCCUAAUUCAAAUAAAAUUGCAAUAAAAACCAAAUAAAAAAUCUUUUAUUUGAUUUUAAUAUUUUUUCUCCAAUAUUUCAUUUAUUUUGGAGAAGUCAUAUAUCUCCUCUCAUAUAUUUUGGUAUGAAAUAUUUUCGGAGAGAAAAUUUAUUAAAGCCAAAAUGAUCCUUGUUUCAAUAUUUGAUAGAAUUCAAAUAUGAAAAUCGUGAAAUCCCCAACUCUUUCAGAGGGUCCUUGAGUUGCUUAGAAUUUCGAGGAUCGCGAAACGGAAUACAAUAAAAAAAUAUAUGAUAUGCAUGAAUGACCUAUGUAUAACAUUCCAAAUUGAAAUUUGGGAUGUUACAAACCUACGCUCUUAAGAUGAAUCUCGCCCUAGAGAUUCGGGUUGGCUAGAAAAUAGGUGUGGAUGGUCUUUGCGUAGAUCAUCCUCUUAUUCCCAGGUGGCUUCAUCCUCCGUAUGGUGGCUCCACUGAACUUUGCAAAACUUGAUAACCUUGCUGCGAGUAACCCGGCUAGCAAACUCGAGAAUCUUGACACGUUUCUCCUCAUAUGUCAAGUCACUAUCCAACUGAAUUGCUUCUAGGAGCACUGUAUCUCUUAAAGGAAUAUCGGCCAUCUCUGCAUGACACUUCUUCAACUGAGAUACAUGAAACACAUCAUGAACUCCAGACAGUCCUUUGGGUAAUUCCAACUUGUAGGCAACCUCUCCCAUACGUUCCAACACACGAUACGGUCCCACAAAUCUCGGGGCUAACUUUCCCUUAACUCCAAAAUGCUUAACUUCUCGAAGUGGUGACACUCUCAGAUACGCCCUGUCUCCGAUUUCAUAGACUACCUCCUUGCGUUUUGAGUCUGCAUAACUCUUCUGUUUGGACUGAGCUACCUUCAGUCUAUCUCGAAUCAGUUUAACUUUCUCUUCGGACUCCUUAAUCAAAUCCGGCCCAACAACUGGCGAUCUCCAACUUCAUCCCACAUCAACGGUGUUCUGCACCUUCUUCCAUACAGGGCCUCGAACGGUGCCAUCUUUAAACUGGUCUGGUAGCUAUUGUUGUACGAGAAUUCUGCGUAAGGCAAAUUAUCAUCCCGACUAGAUCCAUAAUCUAGCGCACAAGCUCUCAACAUGUCCUCCAGAAUCUGAUUGACUCUCUCUGUCUGUCCAUCUGUCUGCGGGUGAAAAGCUGUACUGAACUCCAGCCUGGUUCCCAAGGUCUGGUGCAGCUGGUGCCAAAACUUUGAAGUAAACUGUGUUCCUUUAUCUGAUAUGAUGGUCCUCGGAACUCCGUGCAGACAUACGAUCCUGGUCAUGUAUAUCUUGGCCAACUUUGCACUGGUAUAGGUGGUUUUCACUCAGAUAAAGUGAGCUACUUUGGUCAAGCAAUCCACUACUACCCAUAUAGAAUCAUAUCCCGAUCGGGUCCUGGGCAAUCCGAUGAUAAAAUCCAUGCCAAGCUUAUCCCACUUCCAUUCGGGUAUCGGCAUAGGCUGCAGUAAUCCUGCUGGCUUCUGAUGUUCUGCCUUCACUCUCUGACAUACAUCACAUACGGCUACAUACUCGGCAAUAUCCUUCUUCAUACCCGUCCACCAGAAAUGCUCCUUCAAAUCCAAAUACAUCUUGAUGUUUCCGGGGUGUAUCGAGUAUGGCGAGUCAUGAGCUUCCUGUAGUAUCAACUUCCUGAUCUCUGCAUUAUUGGGCACAUAUACACGACCCUCAAACCAUAAGGUGUCGUGCUCAUCCUCACGAAAACCUUUGGCUUUUCCUUCACUCAUCGUCUCCUUUAUCUCGGCAAUCUCCUUAUCAUCCUUCCGAGCUUCUCAAAUCUUUCCCAACAAUGUAGACCGAACUUCCAUGGUUGUAACAAAACCUUUAGGAACUAUCUCCAAACGAAGUUCCCUGAGAUCCUCUGCUAACUCUUUUGGCAUUCCUCCGCUUACGAGGGUAUUGACAUAACUCUUCCGACUCAAAGCAUCUGCUACGACAUUGGCCUCGCCUGGAUGAUAAUGCAACUUCAUAUCAUAAUCCUUUAUGAGCUCCAACCAUCUCCUCUGCCUAAGGUUCAACUCCUUCUGAGUAAAAAUGUACUUCAAGCUCUUGUGAUCCGUGUACACAUCACAAUGAUUUCCAAUAAGAAAGUGUCUCCAGGUCUUUCUACGGCUGCUAACUCCAAAUCAUGCGUGGCAUAAUUCAACUCGUGCGGUUUAAGUUGUCGUGAGGCAUACAAAACAACUCUUCCGUCUUGCAAAAGUACUCCUCCAAGUCCUAAGCGAGAGGCGUCACAAUACACUUGGAAAUCCUUGCGUAUAUCCGGUAGAAUCAGCACUCGGGAUGUAGUCAAACGUUUCUUCAACUCCUGGAAACUUGCUUCACAUUCUUCAGUCCAAUGGAACUUGGUGUCCUUCUUCAACAAUGCCUUCAUAGGCUUCGAAAUCUUGGAGAAAUUCUCAAUAAAUCUUCGGUAGUAUGCCGCGAGUCCAAGAAAACUGCGGAUCUCUCCAACUGAGGUGGGUGCCAACCACUCAGUGACUGACUGAACCAUGGUGGGAUCCACUACUAUACCUUCUCCUGAUAUAACAUGUCCAAGAAGUCCAACUUCCUUCAACCAAAACUCGCACUUGCUGAACUUGGCAUAUAAUUGAUGUCCCCUGAGCUUCUCGAGAAGUAAACGCAAAUGCUCCUUGUGUUCCUCUUCAUUCUUCGAGUAUACCAAGAUAUCAUCAAUGAAAACCACAACAAACUUAUCCAAAAACUCCAUGAACACCUUAUUCAUCAUACUCAUGAAAUAGGCGGGGCGUUAGUGAUACGUCUCCGUAUUAUCUAUAAUUUUUGAUUGUUCCAUGCCAAUAUUCUACAACUUUCAUAUUCUUUUGGCAACUUUUUAUACUAUUUCUGGGACUAACAUAUUGAUCGAGUGCCCAGUGCCAGUUCUUGUUUGUUGCAUGUUUUUUGUUCCGCAGAAUAUCCAUAUCAAACGGAGUCCAAAUGGGAUAAAACGGACGGAGAUUAUUUUUGGAAUAUAUAUGAUUUUUGGGAAGAAAAAUCCACGCGAGACGGUGCCCGAGGGAAGCAUGAGGCAGGGGGGCGCGCCCCACCCCCCUAGGUGCGCCCCUGACCCUCGUGGCCACCCCGUAAGGCGGUUGAUGCCCUUCUUCCGCUGCAAUAAAUCUAAUAUCCAGAUAGAGAUCGUGUUAAAAUUUCAGCCCAAUCGGAGUUACGGAUCUUCGGGAAUAUAAGAAACGAUGAAAGGGUAGAAUCUGAUAACGCAGAAACAGAGAGACAGAUCCAAUCUCGGAGGGGCUCUCGCCCGUCCCACGCCAUGGAGACCAAGGACCAGAGGGGAAACCCUUCUCCCAUCUAGGGAGGAGGUCAAGGAAGAAGAAGAAGGAGGGGGGCUCUCUCCCCCUCGCUUCUGGUGGCGCCGGAGCGCCACCGGGGGCCAUCAUCAUCACCGCAAUCUUCACCAACAACUUCACCUCCAUCAUCACCAACUCUUCCCUCCUCUAUGCAGCGGUGUAACCUCUUUCUUACCCACUGUAAUCUCUACUUAAACAUGGUGCUCAACGCUAUAUAUUAUUUCCCAAUGAUGUAUGGCUAUCCUAUGAUGUUUGAGUAGAUCCGUUUUGUCCUAUGGGUUAUUUGAUGAUCGUGAUUGGUUUGAGUUGCAGGUUUUAUUAUUGGUGCUGUCCUAUGGUGCUCUCUAUGUCGCGCAAGCGUGAGGGAUUCCCGCUGUAGGGUUUGCAAUAUGUUCAUGAUUUGCUUAUGGUGGGUGGCGUGAGUGACAGAAGCACAGACCCGAGUAAGUAGGUUGUUUGCGUAUGGGAUAAUGAGGACUUGAUACUUUAAUGCUAUGGUUGAGUUUUACCUUAAUGAUUUUUAGUAGUUGCGGAUGCUUUCUAGAGUUUCAAUCAUAAGUGCAUAUGAUCCAAGUAGAGAAAGUAUGUUAACUUAUGCCUCUCCCUCAAAUAAAAUUGCAAUAAUGAUUACUGGUCUAGUUAUCGAUUGCCUAGGGACAAAUAACUUUCUCGUAACAAAAAACUCUUUACUAAAACUAACUUAGUUGUGUCUUUAUCUAAACAACCCCUACUUUUUAUUUACAUGCUCUUUAUUAUCUUGCAAACAUAUCCAAAAACACCUACAAAGUACUUCUAGUUUCAUACUUGUUCUAGGUAAAGCGAACGUUAAGCGUGCGUAGAGUUGUAUCGGUGGUCGAUAGAACUUGAGGGAAUAUUUGUUCUACCUUUAGCUCCUCGUUGGGUUCGACACUCUUACUUAUCGAAAGAGGCUACAAUUGAUCCCCUAUACUUGUGGGUUAACAAAUGCGAUCAAAAUCGCAACUAAGAUAAUAAUUGAUUAAACAACAUAGUGAUACUAAGCCUCUUUAUUAAUGGCAUAUUUUCUAAUCUUUCUAAUCUUCAAGCGCAUUGUAUCCAUCUUGAUCUUGUGAUCAUCGACGACAUCGGCAACAUACAACUCCAAUUUCAACUUCUCUUCUUCAAUUCUUUUCAACUUUUCUUUCAAAUAACCAUUUUUCUUUUCAACUCAAUUUAACUUCUCGACAAGAGAGUCGGUUGCAAUUUCCGGUUCACAUACCUCUUAGAUAAAAUUAUCUUUGUCAACUUGAUGGGCAUGAUUGUCAUGAACACGAAAUGAAACAAAUAGUUAUAAAAGAUGAUAUACCACAUUUGGAUCAUAAACUGGACGAGGGCCGACGGGGACUGAUAACCCACAAGUAUAGGGGAUCGCAACAGUUUUUGAGGGUAGAGUAUCCAACCCAAAUUUAUUGAUUCGACACAAGGGGAGUCAAAGAAUAUUCUCAAGUAUUAGCAGUUGAGUUGUCAAUUCAACCACACCUAAAAGACUUAAUAUCUGCAGCAAAGUAUUUAGUAGCAAAAUAGUAUGGAAGUAACAGUAACGGUGACAAAAGUAAAACAGUAGCAGUUUUUGUAGCAAUCGUAACAGUGGCAAUGGAAAAGUAAAUAAGUAAAGAUAAAUAUGUGAAAAGUUCGUAGGCAAUGGAUCAAUGAUGGAUAAUUAUGUCGGAUGCGAUUCCUCAUGCAACAGUUAUAACAUAGGGUCACAUAGAACUAGCUCCAGUUCAUCAAUGUAAUAUAGGCAUGUAUUCCAAAUAUAGUCAUACGUGCUUAUGGAAAAGAAUUUGCAUGACAUCUUUUGUCCUACCCUCCUGUGGCAGUGGGGUCCUAUUGGAAACUAAGGGAUAUCAAUGCCUCCUUUUAAUAGAGUACCGGACCAAAGCAUUAACACUUAGUGAAUACAUGAACUCCUCAAACUACGGUCAUCACCGGGAGUGGUCCCGAUUAUUGUCACUUCGGGGUUGUCGGAUCAUAACACAUAGUAGGUGACUAUUGACUUGCAAGAUAAGAUCAAGAACUCACAUAUAUUCAUGAACAUAAUAGGUUCAGAUCUGAAAUCAUGGCACUCGGGCCCUAGUGACAAGCAUUAAGCAUAGCAAAGUCAUAGCAACAUCAUCUUAGAACAUGAUGGAUACUAGGGAUCAAACCCUAACAAAACUAACUCGAUUACAUGGUAAAUCUCAUCCAACCCAUCACCGUCCAGCAAGCCUACGAUAGGAUUACUCACGCACGGCGACGAUGACGACGGAUUCCCCUCUUCGGGGCCCCGAACGGACUCCAGAUCAGCCCUCCCGAGAAAGAUUAGGGCUUGGCGGCGGCUCCGUAUCGUAAAAUGCGAUGAAUCCUUCUCUCUGAUUUUUUUCUCCCCGAAAGUGAAUAUAUGGAGUUGGGGUUGAGGUCGGUGGAGUCCCAGGGGGCCCACGAGGCAGGGAGCGCGCCCCCCCCCCCGGGGGGGGGGGGGCGUGCCCUGCACCCUCAUGGGCAGGGUGUGAGCCCCCUGAUGCUGAUUCUUUCGCCAAUAUUUUUCAUUAAUUCCAAAACGUGUCUCCGUGGAUUUUCAGGUCAUUUCGAGAACUUUUAUUUCUACACAAAAAUAACACCAUGGCAAUUCUGCUGAAAACAGCGUCAGUCCGGGUUAGUUCCAUUCAAAUCAUGCAAGUUAGAGUCCAAAACAAGGGCAAAAGUGUUUAAAAAAGUAGAUACAUUGGAGACCUAUGAGGGACAGAUAUCACAACCAUGGCACUAAAUAACAAACAAUCAUACAAGCAAGAAAAGUACAAGUAACUAUCUAAAUCAUACAAAUAAAAUUUUUCUUUUACAAAAAGGAUAAGAACAAGAGGCUCACCAAGGUGGUGCCGGUGACGGGACAGCGCGGGCGAUCGACGGCGGUGAGGACGGAGACGGGAAGGCACUUAAACCAGACCUACACAUAUGCAAACUAAGAAGUUAAUUUGAGCUCAAAUUGCAUAUAAAUCAAAUAAACUCCCACAUAAUUACUCCCAAACUAAAACCCACAAAUCACUAUACUUAUAAAGCAUGAAACGAGCUAAACUAGUAAUGAGAGAUGAAAGGAUGAAGUUGCUAACAUUUUAGAACCUUGGAUAGAUGGGGUGCCUCUAAUCUUGACAAAUCUUGGCGAAAAUGGAGGAUGAACUUGAGCUAGGGGAAGGAAACAAAGAUGAGAGAAAUGAGAGAGCUUGGACUCGGGCUGGACGAAGCAUCUUUAUAUAGGGAUAUCUUUAGUCCCGGUUGGUCAUAUCAACCAUGACAAAAGGUGCUCGCAGGGGCCCCAGUCUGCCGCAACCCCUUUAGUCCCAGUUGGUAUCUCCAAUCGGGACUAGAGGUCCCAUUUGAACCGGGACUAAUCUUGUCCGUGCCCCCGUCCGCUCCUAGCCGUUGGAACCGGGACUAAUGCUCACAUUAGUCCCGGGCCCAAACCCGGCCGGGACUAGUGCUCCGGAUGAAAUGUUGGUUUUCUACUAGUGAUACUUCCCUCGUUCUUAAAUAUAAGUCCUUUUAUAUAUUACAAUAUAGAUUACAUACGAAGUAAAAUGAGUGAAUCCACUCUAAAGUAUGUCUAUAUUACAUCCGUAUGUAGUUUGUAUUAAAAUCUUUAAAAGCAUUUAUAUUUAGAAUGGAGGGCGUACAAACUUGUACUAAGGUUAAGACAUUUAUUUUGGGAUGAAGUGAGUAUACGCGAAUAGGCAUGUGCAGCUCAUGACAAAUCUACGUAUAGAUGUGUAGUUAGCUUUUCGGAAUCACGAAAUUCCACGGAAGUAGGCCAGGUACAAAUACACGGAAGUAGGCCAGGUACCCUAUUAAGGUCCAUGAUUCCAAGCCUUUUCGGCCAUGUCUGUGGGCUCUGUUGACAGUAAUAAUGCUGCAGUAGAUGUGUAGGGUGGCCGCUGAUCACGAGAGCAUUGAGCGGCCGCAAGCAUGCAGCGUCGCUUUCGAUUCGUACCCGGCUCUAAAGUAAUCUGAGAUGAAUACUGAAACUUGUCCGUGGGAGUACCGCCGGCCGCGCCAAUAUAUCCGGCUUCCUGCAUGCGUGAUUGACUGCCUUGCCACGCCGCUUACGCCAGGUUCCACUACAGGGUGACUCGAGCAGUGCCCCGGUUGUGUUGUGACAAGGGCUGGGCAUGGAGAUGGAAGAGGGGCUCGAUCUGAGCCUGUCGCUGCGCCAGUACACGCCGCCGUGGUCGCAGCUGGUGUUCGCCUGCUCCUACUGCUCACGCAGCUUCAAGAACUCGCAGGCGCUCGGCGGCCACCAGAACGCUCACAAGCUGGCCAGGCGGGCCACGGCGCUCUCUUCAGCGGCGGCGGGAGAGCUCGCCAUCGAGAACCACCACAGCGCUCCGCCGCGCCCCGGCGCCCGCGCUUGGCGAGCAGGAUAUCGUCAGCAGGCGCGGCGCACGGGUACUGGUUCGGGGGCAACCUCGUCCGGGGCAAGAAGAGGCGACCAAGAGCUUGCGGAGGAGGCGAUUGACCUGUCCCUCAAGCUAUGAUCGUUCCAACCCGUCGAUGCAGGUGCAGGCACUAAGGACAUGCAGUAGUACUUCGUUCCUCUCGUCCAAUAGUUUCAUUUGUUGUGCUGUUGUGUUUCUGCUAUUGCUUUCCGGCUUAAAUAAUUAUGUUGUGUUUCUGCUAUCUCUUCCAAUAUCAUUGCUCUUCUACUAAUAUCGUGUUCUCAUUAUUGUCGACAUCCUUGUCACAUUGACAUUGCCAAUGAUUAGGAAAACAGGAUCACCGACAGUAUAUGGGCUAGUCCUAUAGGCCUGACUAGGGAUCUGUUCGGUGUUUAUGUUUUCCCACAUGCAACUGAGUUUUCCUCCGAAUUUCAUGUUCAAUAACCAUUGCAAUUAUAGCACCAAGAUAUAAAAUUAAUUAAAAAUGAAAAUAGAAUAAUAAUAACUUUAUUUUUGUCUCUAGGCCAUACUUUCAACAUGAGAAACAUCCAAUUUUAAUACUGCACCUUUGCAUUUUAUGUCAUUAUGUCUCCUAGCCACCUAUGAAGAACAAGAAGGGUGGUUCCAUACAAACUCUUGUGCUUGAUAAAGGUUGUUUGGUCCACGCUAAUUAGCAGGCUGGUCAUAGUGGAGAGUAACUUAGACUAGUAACAUACAUAUGUUACUAGUCUAUGUUACUACCUUCAUAGUGGGUAGUGUCAUAGGUGUGGUAACAUAGUUGCCUUCAUUUAUUACUUUGUAGACUCAUUAUGCAUUGGAAACCGCUAUGUGAUGGUAACAUAUUAUGUUACUCUAUUUGCCUCUCUCCUCAUUAACUACUUGCCACAUCACCAAUUUUGCUUAUGUGGCAUCUAUAUUACUACCUAUGUUACUCCCACUAUGACCAGCCGCAUAGCCGUGUGCGAUCUGGUACAGUUGGAAAGAAACUCGGCAACUAAUUUUGGAAAGUCGUGUACAAGGUUAUGGGUUGGAACUCCAACAAUGGGUGUGUCUAGUUUUUUUCAGAAUGAGCAUGAUCAAGGCCUUGUUAAGAGCAACAAAACCUCUCUCAUCGCCAACACAAAAUUUUAGCAAUGUCAUCAUUAUAUCCCCUUGUGGAAGAAGGCACCCAUAAAUCCAUAGGGGCCAGGGGAACGACUAGGAGAUAUCUCAUUAAUAACUUCCCAAACUUCUUCUUCAAUAAAUAUGGUGUCUAGCUCCGGCAGUUGAGUAGGGAGCAUAACCAGUGCAUCCAAAUCAAAUGUAAGAUCUCUUGCAGUUGCUCUUCCUAGAAGGCCAUCCAGGCAUUGAUAAUUACUCCCUCACUUCUGAUUUAUAGGGCCCAAUUCAAAAAUCUCAACAAACAAGGUAGAUAUUGAGUGGUGGUAUAGUUUUGUAGUUUGCAAAAGUACUGCACUCAAUUUUCUAAACAAAUUGUGGUUACCAACGCAUUAGUUGCAAUGCAUGCAGGCGUGACCAAUAAAUCACCAAAAAAAAUACAUACAUUGGUGAGUUUUCUCAUAAUCCUUGCAUACAACGAUUUAAUGCACAUUAAAAUCUGAAUAUGUGAUGAGGAGCAAUACAUUCUUUAAGAUAAACCUUAUAAACCGGAAGAGAGGGAGUACUUUGGUUAGUUAAGUCCGUAUACCAAUCGAAAGCUUUGUCUAUAAUUUCUUGCAGUAACCUACUUCUGGUCGAUCGCAUGUAAAUAUUCGGUCCUAGCCUAAAAUUUCUUGAAUUUUGGGCCAGCUGACCAUACCUUAAGGUCCAAUUCAAACUUUGAAGACAUAUUUCUUGUUGUCUUGCUGAUGAGCAUAGCGCAUCCACCGGCUGAUACGGCCAAUUCUAGUUCUAGCUGUACAGAUAUAGACGACAUGCAUGCAUUAGCUAUCAUGAAACUAGGGAAUCAAUCAUGGAGUUGACACCAUGGACGAACGUGAGGCAAGCUGAUGCACGCUUUUAUGGAAGAUGGAUCUUAUUUUAUUGCAACAAAUAAAGAUCAGGUGCAGGGGUCACCGCACCUAUGACAGUCAAAACUACUGGCUAGCCGGAGUUGGGUGCCAUGAGAAAGCAGCGUGAUAGAUCAUUUGAUCAAUAGCGUCGAGGAGCGUGUGCUCUGUGCUCAGGUCGAUGGCAUGUGCUGCAUGCCUUGAGCAUGUCCAUAAAAAUAUAUACAACACAUUGUAGUUGUGAACUUGUGAAGGCUGGGGGUGAUAUAACGUGUUUAGGAACCUGGCGAGCAUAUGCUGCCGUGUGCUGUACGAAGCCGGAGGAGUUCGUCCCGAGAUUGGAGAGAGCAUGGAGAGUUCAGAACGAAAGGGAUUAGAGGAGGAUUAAAAUUAAUUAAUUAAUUGUGUGGGCCUACACUCAUACGUGGCACGCACUCAUUGAGCCUGCACCAUAAUAGGUGCAGUGACCCCUGGCUAGCGGCUUCCGGUCCUAGUUCGCGUAGACUGCUUACCCAUUUUUUAUAUCUAAAUAGCUAGCUUCAUUAACAUAUUUUUCUCAAUAUGCAAAUAUGACACUUCAUCAUUCAACAUUCAGGGUUCGGCUCACCUGCGGGGCUCCCAACAGGGAUUAUCGUGCAGGGCCAGUUAGAGAGUGCCACGUUGUGUCCAAGUGGGCCAGCAACUCUAAUUAAGUUAGAUUUAUUUUGUGUUUGUCUGAAAAACUUGCUCCUUGGAUGAUUCGAUCCUUCCUGACCUGGCCUCUGCGCUAAGGAAACACGAGACUGGAUGCUAUCACGAAGCCGCGGACAGGUUCUUGUUCAUCCACCGGCGAUGUUGCUGACUCGUCUACCACCGGUAGAGGAAUACCGUGCGCGGUUGUAUGACACAUGCAGCUCAGCUCCUCGUUGUUUCUUGCUAGAUCAUGCAUAUUAAUUAUAGUUUUAAAUAGCCGGCUAUAGUUCGCUAUAGCCUUUUCAGCAGGGUGCCGCUAAGUGGCUGCCUUUACAAAUAGCCCGCUAUAACUUCGCUAUAGCUGAUUUGAAGACCCGCCGCUAUUUUGCAUAGCCUGUUAUUUAAAAUAUUGAUAUUAACACCUUUUCGCCAAAUUAAUUGAGCCAAAGCACUCCAAAUGACAAGAUCGGAAGCCGUAGUUUCUUGUCCAGUGGGACGCCGCCGUGUUAAUCUCCCGCUGCGGUGAGAUUCAGUCUCCCUCUAUGAUCGAAGUCCUUCUCACAGUCUCAGUAGACUCCUAUAGGAUACUACCUCGAAGCCAACAAUUGCAACGACGUGCUCGUCGACGGCAUCAUGUGCACUCUCCUCGGUUGCCGCGGACAUCCACGCCGUCCUCGACUGGCCGUACACGGGCUAGGCGGCCAGCGGCGUCCCGGCUGAUGAGCAAUAACCGAUCCGCUCUAGCCUUCUCCUCACUGCAUCCCGUCGCACGUCGCCAAUCUGAGGAUUAAUCCGUCUGUGGUGUGUCCAAAUAUCCAAUUAAACGACGAGCAUUGAUCCGGCGAGAAGCACAGCUUCACGCGCAAGAACGAGAACCUGUUGUGGAGGACGUCGGAGAUCCUGAAGUAUUUGUCAAGCUUGAACGCCUCCUUGUCUCAUCGUCUUGCGUUUGGCGGCGACGCAUCCCCAUUCCCCCUUCGUCGUCUCCCCCAUCGUCUACUGAUGAAGGACCGAAGCAGCAGGAACUAGGAAGAAACAAAGUAAUUUAACUUAAUUAGAGCUACGGGCCCACUUAGACACGUGGCACUCCCUUACUGGCCUUGCACGAUAAUCCUUGCUGGGAGCCCCGCAGGUGAGCCGAACCCCAACAUUUAUGGGAAAGGCCCAAACAUGCAAUUAUUCAUAAUAAAAAUCUGCCUCAACAUGCAAACACGCAUGCAUGAAAAAUUCCAUUCUAUUAUGCUAUUAACAUUUAAUUCUUACAUUCGUUCCAAAACUAUCAUUUUAAACAUUCAUGUUUCAUAUAUAAUCAAAACCUCAUUCCCGCACCAACGUGCGGUGCAUCAUCUAGUUUGUAAAACUUCAGCAGCCAGCCGCACCCGCUCCUCGUCGACAGCCGUUCCAGCCCCGGCAACCACCGCCCUUGAUGGCGGCCACUCCGGCCCCGCCGACCACUCUUGCUUGAGCAUGGACUCACCCUCCCCCACUGGCGGCCACGGCCGCGAGCUCCGCUGGAUGGACUCCAGCCCAUCUGUCGCUUGAUUUGCAAGCCCCCGCGUCCCGUUCUACCGAGCCGCGCUAUGUGACGAGCCCCUCGUGUCCUCUGAGGGUGUCUCACCGCCGGCUCCGCGCCCUGGCCCGAGAUCUGAGGUCCACUGCGUCACGCCCGACGUCCCCUUCGCCAACGGGAGGCCAUGGGUGACGGCUNNNNNNNNNNNNNNNNNNNNNNNNNNNNNNNNNNNNNNNNNNNNNNNNNNNNNNNNNNNNNNNNNNNNNNNNNNNNNNNNNNNNNNNNNNNNNNNNNNNNNNNNNNNNNNNNNNNNNNNNNNNNNNNNNNNNNNNNNNNNNNNNNNNNNNNNNNNNNNNNNNNNNNNNNNNNNNNNNNNNNNNNNNNNNNNNNNNNNNNNNNNNNNNNNNNNNNNNNNNNNNNNNNNNNNNNNNNNNNNNNNNNNNNNNNNNNNNNNNNNNNNNNNNNNNNNNNNNNNNNNNNNNNNNNNNNNNNNNNNNNNNNNNNNNNNNNNNNNNNNNNNNNNNNNNNNNNNNNNNNNNNNNNNNNNNNNNNNNNNNNNNNNNCCCCCGACGUCACCGCGUUGCCCCUGCUUCAGGAAGGCAUGCCCACCCCGCGGUUGUGCCCGGCGAAUGCCUGCGGUGCUUCAACACAAGCCAUCCUCGCUCAUAGUGUCGGCGCGCCAUCUGUUGCAGCCGAUGUCGCUCCCCGGCCACGUCGUACGGGACUGCACUGCCUUGUGCUCCCCAGCCUCCUCCACCGAACCACCAUCGAAGCGUUGUCGCGAGCCCUCUCCAUGGCAGGGCGCCCCGUCAUCAAUGGCGACCUCUGCGGACUCGAGCUCGGGCAUUGCCGGCCCAAGCCACCCUGUGUCCUCUGUGUGUGGGGGCGGGUCCUCGUCCGGCUCCGCCUUCGCCUCUCCCCUCCAACCUUCCCCCGAGCUCGCCCCGCACCGACCCCUCCACCACCUCGAGCACGAUACCCGUUGUGCUCUCUAGCCACCUCGAGCGGCCGCGCUUUGGUAUCUACCCCAUACGCCUAGCCUUGUCGCCACCGAAACGGCGCCGCGCGAGCGCGCCCUAUUGGCCAUCAUUGCCGGGACCCGCUCCGGCGUCUCUCGUGACGAGGUGGCGAACCAGCAGUGCGAAAGAUCCGUCCUGACCAGCGACGAGGUCUCCGUCCAUAGUCGUGGCCGCUACGAGUUCCUCCUGACGUUCGCCUCGACAGGUAGUUUGAUAAAUAGAUAAUUUGUAACAAAUAACAAGUAGCAAUAGUAACAAUAGGCGCAUCAAGGUAGCCCAAUCCUUUUUGUAGCACAGGACACGCCAAAAUAAUCUCUUAUAGUAAGCAAAGCAUUCUUGAGGACACACAGGAAUUUCAUCUAGAAGUAGGCCAGGGCCCCCACUACCCACCAGGGCGCGCCUGGAGGGGGUGACGUGCCCUGAUGCCUAGUGGGCACCUGGGUGGUCUCCUCCAGUAUCAUUUUUCUCUAAUAUUUUUUAUAUAUUCCAAAAUAAUUCUCCGUAAAAUUUCAGCUCAAAUGGAGAUGUGCAGAAUAUGUAUCUCUGACAUAGAUUUUCCAGAUCCAGAAUUUCAGCUGCCGGUAUUCUCCCGCUUUGUGUAAACCUUGCAUAUUAUGAGAGAAAAGGCAUUAGAAUUACUCCACAAAGUGUUAUAUUGCAUAAAAACACUAUAGAUAAUAGUAGGAAAACAAGAUGCAAAAUGGACGUAUCAACUCCCCCAAGCUUAGACCUCGCUUGUCCUCAAGCGAAAGCCGAUAUCGAAAAUCAUGUCCACAUGUUUAGAGAGAGUGGUGUUGAUAAAAACAAAAUAUGUACAUAGUAGCAUCAUGCCCAUUAUUGUAACAACAAUAAACUUUAUCAUAAAACUUCUCCCGAGCAAGUAACAAUUCAUCACAACAUCGAAGUAUAAAGCAUAAACUUUCUUGAAAACUAACAAAUUAUGUUCUCAGUCAACUUUGCAAUUACAAUUCAUCAUAUCUUUAGGAAGGGUCUUGUAUCGGAGCCUUUUGGCAAGUUCACAUACUCAACCACCAUUUAGUCUUCUAUGAUUGCUAACAGUCACAACAUAUAUAUGGAGCAAAAAGUUUCAGCCGGACACAUAGAAAGAUAGGGGCUUAUAGUUUUGCCUACCAACUUAUUCACAUCAAGGGUGAUGUCAACAAUAAUAACUCAUGAUCACUCAUAUCCAACUGGAUAUAUGUGCCUAGAUAUUUCCCCACCACAUGAUGCUUGCGAAAUAGAAAAAAGGGAUAAAGGAGAACACUUUGACUCUUGCAUAAAAAGUAAAUACAUAAAAGUAAAAGAUAGGCCCUUCGCAGAGGGAAGCAGAGGUUGUCAUGCACUUUUUUGGUUUUUGUAUCCACAGUCUCUUAAUGCAAAAGAACGCCACGUUAUAUUGCCCCUUAUGAUAGCAACCUUUAUUAUGCAAAUCCGUCGCUUUUAUUUCUUUGCCAUCACAAGUUGGUACAACGCUUAUUUCCCCUUACACUAAAAGAUCAAACAUAUUUAGAAGCAUUUUUAUUGCCUUAUGCACCGAUAACAACUUACUUGAAGGAUCUUACUCAAUCCAUAGGUAGGUAUGAUGGACUUUCAAAACAUGACUUUGGGUUAAAGGGUUUUGGAUGCACAAGUAGUAUCUCUACUUAGUGCGGAUUUUUGGCUAGCAAAGCUAUUGAGCAAGCACCACAUGUUGGAGGAUCUAUGACAAUAUAACUUCUAUGUGAAUAUGAACUAACAUAAAUCAUUACAUUGUCUUCCUUGUCCAACGUCAACAAUUUGGCAUAAAAUAUUUAAUGGGGGCUCACAAUCAUAAAAGAUGUCCAAGAUAGUAUAUUUGCAUGUGAAUCUUCUCUUCCUUAUUAAUUCUUUCAUGAAUUGCAUCAUCGACCAAUGCUAUGUUUAUCAACUUUUAAUAAAUUUUACCACUUAUAAUUUUCCUUAUGUGAUGUCAUUACUUUCCAUACGAUUAGCACAUGAUCUUUUUCAUUUUUUUCUUUAUUUUGAUUGAAACAAGAAAGGAAAGAAGCAAAAAAAUCAAACUAAACUUUAUUAUAUAACUCUCAACUCGAUUACAUAGGGGGAUAGAUCAUGAAACUAUCACUCGAAAAUAGAUCAUACUAAACUUUUAUUCAACCAAAUCACGAAAUAACUAAGAAUCGAACUAAAAACCGGUGAAGGUAACAAAAGUGAUGGUGAUACGAUAUCGGGGCAUCUCCCCAAGCUUGGAAAAAGCCAAGGGGAGUGCCCAUACCCAUGUAUUCAAGUAUCCUUCUUUGGUGAUGAUGAUGAUGAUGAUGAAGUAGGGGCUUCGCACUUCAGCCUCAAUAGCUGCUCCAAUAUAUGAUUGAUGCUCCGGAAGGCAAUGUACUCUUCCAACAAAAUAAUUUCACGAGUGAGAUAUGUAUUCUGAACACUAACCGUUUCAAAGGUCCUCAAGGCUUCAAUUUCAGUGGGGGUAAGGUGGUUAUAGUAUGGUUGAAGGAUAUGUUCUUCUUUCUCAACUUCCCCCGUGAGCAUGGCUUGCUCUUGAGCUUAAUCUCCUGCAACUUCGUUGUCCUUGUCCUCCUUGGUGGCUUCUUUUUGUUCCUCUUUCCUCAGCUCCAUCUUCAGCAGUAAAGAAUCUUCUUCUACGUUGUUGGAGGAGGGAGAAGACAUGAUGCCCGGCUUGAUAGAUCUGACAGAAAAUAGCAUGAAACAAGAACAGAUGAUAUUUCCGCGAUGUAGUGGUCAAAUUAUCCGGGGAUAUAUUGCUACCUCUUGAGCACUGUGUUGGUUUUCCCUUGAAGAGGAAAGGGUGAUGUAGUGAAGUAGCGUAAGUAUUUCCCUCAGUUUUUGAGAACCAAGGUAGCAAUCCAGUAGGAGGCUACGCGCGAGUCCCUCGCACAUGCACAAAAUAAAUAAAUCCUCGCAACCAAUGCGAUAAGGGGUUGUCAAUCCCUACACGGUCACUUACGAGAGUGAGAUCUGAUAGAUAUGAUAAGAUAAUAUUUUUGGUAUUUUUGAGAUAAAGAUGCAAAGUAAAAUAAAAGGCAAUGAAAAUAACUAAGUGUUGGAAGAUUAAUAUGAUGAAGAUAGACCCGGGGGCCAUAGGUUUCACUAGUGGCUUCUCUCAAGAGCAUAAGUAUUUUACGGUGGGUGAACAAAUUACUGUUGAGCAAUUGACAGAAUUGAGCAUAGUUAUGAGAAUAUCUAGGUAUGAUCAUGUAUAUAGGCAUCACGUACAAGACAAGUAGACCGACUCUUGCCUGCAUCUACUACUAUUACUUCACACAUCGACCGCUAUCCAGCAUGCAUCUAGAGUAUUAAGUUCAUAAGAACAGAGUAACGCCUUGAGCAAGAUGACAUGAUGUAGAGGGAUAAAUUCAUGCACUAUGAUAAAAAAAACCAUCUUGUUAUCUUCGAUGGCAACAAUACAAUAUGUGCCUUGCUGCCCCUACUAUCACUGGGAAAGGACACCACAAGAUUUCCCAAAGCUAAGCACUUUUCGCAUUGCAAGAAAGAUCAAUCUAGUAGGCCAAACCAAACUAAUAAUUCGAAGAGACUUGCAAAGAUAACCAAUCAUACAUAAAAGAAUUCAGAGAAGCUUCAAAUAUCGUUCAUAGAUAAACUUGAUCAUAAACCCACAAUUCAUCGGUCUCAACAAACACACAACAAAAGAAGAUUACAUCGAAUAGAUCUCCACAAGAGAGGGGGAGAACUUUGUAUUGAGAUCCAAAAAGAGAGAAGAAGCCAUCUAGCUAAUAACUAUGGACCCGAAGGUCUGAGGUAAACUACUCACACUUCAUCGGAGAGGCUAUGGUGUUGAUGUAGAAGCCCUCCGUGAUCGAUGCCCCCUCCGACAAAGCUCUAGAACAGGCCCCAAGAUGGGAUCUCGUGGAUACAGAAAGUUACGGUGGUGGAAUUAGGGUUUUGGCUUCGUAUCUGAUCGUUUGGGGUACGUAGGUAUAUAUAGGAGGAAGAAGUACGUCGGUGGAGCAAUAGGGGGCCCACGAGGGUGGAGGGCGCGCCUGGGGGGGGUAGGCGCGCCCCCUACCUCGUGGCCUCCCUGUUGGUUGCUUGACAUAGGGUCCAAGUCUCCUCGAUCUUGUUCGUUCCAAAAAUCACGUUCCCAAAGGUUUCAUUCCGUUUGGACUCCGUUUGAUAUUCCUUUUCUUCGAAACCCUAAAAUAGGCAAAACAAAACAGCAAUUCUGGGCUGGGCCUCCGGUUAAUAGGUUAGUCCCAAAAAUAAUAUAAAAUUGGAUAAUAAAGCCCAAUAAUGUCCAAAACAGAAGAUAAUAUAGCAUGGAGCAAUCAAAAAUUAUAGAUACGUUGGAGACGUAUCAAGCAUCCCCAAGCUUAAUUCCUGCUCGUCCUCGAGUAGGUAAAUGAUAAAAACAGAAUUUUUGAUGUGGAAUGCUACUUGGCAUAAUUUCAAUGUAAUUCUUCUUAAUUGUGGUAUGAAUAUUCAGAUCCGAAAGAUUCAAGACAAAAGUUCAAUAUUGACAUAAAAAUAAUAAUACUUCAAGCAUACUAACUAAGCAAUUAUGUCUUCUCAAAAUAACAUGGCCAAAGAAAGUUAUCCCUACAAAAUCAUAUAGUCUGGGUAUGCUCUAUCUUCACCACACAAAGUAUUUAAAUCAUGCACAACCCCGAUGACAAGCCAAGCAAUUGUUUCAUACUUUUGGUGUUCUCAAACUUUUUCAAUCUUCAUGCAAUACAUGAGCGUGAGCCAUGGACAUAGCACUUUAGGUGGAAUAGAAUGGUGGUUGUGGAGAAGACAAAAAGGGAGAAGAUAGUCUCACAUCAACUAGGCGUAUCAACGGGCUAUGGAGAUGCCCAUCAAUAGAUAUCAAUGUGAGUGAGUAGGGAUUGCCAUGCAAUGGAUGCACUAGAGCUAUAAGUAUAUGAAAGGUCAAAAAGAAACUAAGUGGGUGUGCAUCCAACUUGCUUGCUCACGAAGACCUAAGGCAUUUUGAAGAAGCCCAUCAUUGGAAUAUACAAGCCAAGUUCUAUAAUGAAAAAUUCCCACUAGUAUAUGAAAGUGAUAACAAAGGAGACUCUCUACUAUGAAGAUCAUGGUGCUACUUUGAAGAACAAGUGUGGUAAAAGGAUAGUAGCAUUGUCCCUUCUCUCUUUUUCUCUCAUAUAUUUAUUUAUUUAUUUAUUUGGGCCUUUUCUCUUUUUUAUGGCCUCUUUUUUUCGUCCGGAGUCUCAUCCCGACUUGUGGGGGAAUCAUAGUCUCCAUCACCCUUUCCUCACUGGGACAAUGCUCUAAUAAUGAUGAUCAUCACACUUUUAUUUUCUUACAACUCAAGAAUUACAACUAGAUACUUAGAACAAAAUAUGACUCUAUAUGAAUGCCUCCGGCGGUGUACCGGGAUAUGCAAUGACUCAUGAGUGACAUGUAUGAAAGAAUUAUGAACGGUGGCUUUGCCACAAAUACAAUGUAAACUACAUGAUCAUGCAAAGGAAUAUGACAAUGAUGGAGCGUGUCAUAGUAAACGAAGCGGAGGAAAGUUGCAUGGCAAUAUAUCUUGGAAUGGCUAUGGAAAUGCCAUGAUAGGUAGGUAUGGUGGCUGUUUUGAGGAAGGUAUAUGGUGGGGGUUGCUACCUCUUGAGCACUGCGUUGGUUUUCCCCGAAGAGGAAGGGAUGAUGCAGCAAAGUAGCAUAAGUAUUUCCCUUAGUUUUUGAGAAACAAGGUAUCAAUCCAGUAGGAGGCUACACGCGAGUCCCUCAUACCUGCACAAAACAAAUAAAUCCUCGCAACCAACCCGAAUAGGGGUUGUGAAUCCCUACAUGGCCACUUACGAGAGUGAGAUCUGAUAGAUAUGAUAAGAUAAUAUUUUUGGUAUUUUUGUGAUAAAGAUGCAAAGUAUAAUAAAGGCAAAGUAAAAAAGCAAAGGAAAUAACUAAGUAGUAGGAGAUUAAUAUGAUAAAGAUAGACCUGGGGGCCAUAGGUUUCACUAGUGGCUUCUCUCGAGAGCAGAAGUAUUCUACGGUGGGUGAACAAAUUACUAUUGAGCAAUUGAUAUAAUUGAGCAUAGUUAUGAGAAUAUCUAGGUAUGAUCAUGUAUAUAGGCAUCACGUCCGAGACAAGUAGACCGACUCCUGCCUGCAUCUACUACUAUUACUCCACUCAUCGACCGCUAUCCAGCAUGCAUCUAGAGUAUUAAGUUAAAAACAGAGUAACGCCUUAAGCAAGAUGACAUGAUGUAGAGGGAUAGACUCAUGCAAUAUGAAGAAAACCCCAUCUUGUUAUCCUCAAUGGCAACAAUACAAUAUGUGCCUUGCUGCCCCUACUAUAGCUGAGAAAGGACACCGCAAGAUUGAACCCAAAGCUAAGCACUUCUCCCAUUGCAAGAAAGAUCAAUCUAGUAGGCCAAACCAAACUGAUAAUUCGAAGAGACUUGCAAAGAUAACCAAUCAUACAUAAAAUAAUUCAGAGGAGAUUCAAAUAUUGUUCAUAGAUAGACUUGAUCAUAAACCCACAAUUCAUCGGUCUCAACAAACACACCGCAAAAAGAAGAUUACAUCGAAUAGUUCUCCACAAUAGAGGGGGAGAACAUUGUAUUGAGAUCCAAAGGGAGAGAAGAAGCCAUCUAGCUAAUAAAUAUGGACCCGUAGUUCUGAGGUAAACUACUCACACUUCAUCGAAGAGGCUAUGGUGUUGAUGUAGAAGCCCUCCGUGAUCGAUGCCCCCUCCGGUGGAGCUCCGGAACAGGCCCCAAGAUGGGAUCUCGUGGAUAUAGAAAGUUGCGGCAGUGGAAUUAGGUUUUUGGCUCCGUAUCUGAUCAUUUGGGGGUACGUAGGUAUAUAUAGGAGGAAGGAGUACGUCGAUCGAGCAACAGGGGGCCCACGAGGGUGGAGGGCGUGCCUGGUGGGGGUGGGCGUGCCCCCCUACCUCGUGGCCUCCUCUUUUGUGUCUUGACAUAGGGUCCAAGUCUCCCAGGUCUUGUUUGUUGAGAAAAUCACGUUCCCGAAGGUUUCAUUCUGUUUGGACUCCGUUUGAUAUUCCUUUUCUUUGAAACACUAGAACAGGCAAAAAACAGCAAUUCUGGGCUGGGCCUCCGGUUAAUAGGUUAGUCCCAAAAAUAAUAUAAAAGUGGAAAAUAAAGCCCAAUAAUGUCCAAAACAGUAGAUAAUAUAGCAUGGAGCAAUCAAAAAUUAUAGAUACGUUGGACACGUAUCAAGCAUCCCCAAGCUUAAUUCAUGCUCGUCCUCGAGUAGGUAAAUGAUAAAAAUAGCAUUUUUUAUGCGGAGUGCUACUUGGCAUAAUUUUAAUGUAAUUCUUCUUAAUUGUGGUAUGAAUAUUCAGAUCCGAAAGAUUCAAGACAAAAGUUCAAUAUUGACAUAAAAAUAAUAAUACUUCAAGCAUACUAACAAAGCAAUUAUGUCUUCUCAAAAUAACAUGGCCAAAGUAAGUUUUGCCUACAAAAUCAUAUAGUCUGGCUAUGCUCCAUCUUCACCACAUAACGGUUCACCAUACGUGCAUGCUACGGGAAUCACAAACUUUAACACAAGUAUUUCUCAAAUUCACAACUACUCAACUAGCACAACUUUAAUAUCACCAUCUUUAUAUCUCAAAACAAUUAUCAAGUAUCAAACUUCUCAUAAUAUUCAACACACUCAUAAGAAAGAUUUAUUAUUAAUCUUGUAUACCAAGCAUAUUAAGACUUUAAGCAAAUUACCAUGUUAUUUAAGACUCUCAAAAUAAUCUAAGUGAAGCAUGAGAGAUCAAUAGUUUCUAUAAAACAAAUCCACCACCGUGCUCUAAAAGAUAUAAGUGAAGUACUAGAGAAAAACUAUAUAACUCAAAAGAUAUAAGCGAAUCACAUAGAGUAUUCUAACAAAUUCCUAAUCAUGUAUAGCUCUCUCAAAAGGUGUGUAUAGAAAGGAUGAUUGUGGUAAAAUAAAAAUUAAAGAAUCAAAUCAUACAAGACACUCCAAGCAAAACACAUAUCAUGUGGUGAAUAAAAAUAUAGCUCCAAGUAAAGUUACCGAUAGAAGUAGACGAAAGAGGGGAUGCCUUCCGGGGCAUCCCCAAGCUUUGGCUUUUAGGUGUCCUUAGAUUAUCUUGGGGGUGCCAUGGGAAUACCCAAGCUUAGGCUCUUGCCACUCCUUGUUCCAUAAUCCAUCAAAUCUUUACCCAAAACUUGAAAACUUCACAACACAAAACUUAAAGUAGAAAAUCUCGUGAGCUCCAUUAGCGAAAGAAAAUAAAAGACCACUUGAAGGUACUGUAACGAACUCAUUCUUUAUUUAUGUUGGUGUUAUACCUACUGUAUUCCAACUUCUCUAUGGUUUAUAAAGUAUUUUACUAGCCAUAGAUUCAUCAAAAUAAGCAAACAACACACGAAAAACAGCAUCUGUCAAAAAGAGAACAGUCUGUAGUAAUCUGUAGCUAGCGCAAGAUCUGGAACCACAAAAAUUAUAAAAUAAAUUUCUGGACGUGAGUAAUUUAUCUAGUAAUCAUCUGCAAAAAUAAUUAACUAAAUAGCACUUUCCAAAUAAAAAUGACAGCAGUUCUCGUGGGCGCUAAUGUUUCUGUUUUUUACAGCAAGUGUCACAAGACUUUCCCCAAGUCUUCCCAACGGUUCUACUUGUCACAAGCACUAAUUAAACACAAAAAAACACAAUCAAAAAAACACAAUCAAAAUCAGAGGGCAUAUUAUUAUAAUUUCCAUAAGAAUUGUUGUAGUAAUUACCAUAAUUAUUAGAGGAAUUACUAGGGUAAGGCCUAGGAUUAAAAUUUCCCCUAUACGCGUUGUUACCAAAAUUGUUCCUACCAACAAAAUUCACAUCCAUAGAUUAAAGUAGACUAAGGAAUAUCAUUAGGAUCAGAAGAAACACUUUUAUUAGCAAAUAAUUUCAUAAGUUCAUCCAUCUUUCCACUCAAAACAUUAAUUUCUUCUAUCGCAUGCACUUUCUUAUUAGUAGAUCUUUCAGUGUGCCAUUGAGAAUAAUUAACCAUAAUAUUAUCUAAGAGUUUAGUAGCUUCUCCUAAAGUGAUUUCCAUAAAAGUGCCUCCCGCGGCCGAAUCUAAAAGAUUUCUAGAAGCAAAAUUCAAUCCGGCAUUAAAAAAUUUGUAUAAUCAUCCACAAAUUUAAACCAUGUGUUGGGCAAUUACAUAUCAUUAAUUUCAUCUUCUCCCAAGCUUGUGCAACAUGUUCAUGAUCAAGUUGCUUAAAAUUCAUAAUAUCAUUUCUAAGAGAGAAGAUCUUAGCAGGAGGAAAAUACUUAGAGAUAAAAGCAUCUUUGCACUUAUUCCAUGAAUCAAUACUAUUUUUAGGCAAAGACGAAAACCAAGCUUUAGCACAAUCUCUAAGCGAAAAAGGAAAUAGCUUCAAUUUAACAAUAUCAUUGUCCACAUCUUUCUUCUUUUGCAUAUCACACAAAUCAACGAAGCUAUUUAAAUGGGUAGCGGCAUCUUCACUAGGAAGGCCGGAAAAUGGAUCUUUCAUGACAAGAUUCAGCAAGGCAGCAUUAAUUUCACAAGAUUCAGCAUCGGUAAGAGGAGCAAUCGGAGUGCUAAUAAAAUCAUUGUUGUUGGUAUUGGUAAAGUCACACAAUUUAGUGUUAUCUUGAGCCAUCGUGACAAGCAAGCAAUCCAACACACAAGCAAACGAGAAACGGGUAAAAAGAGGAAAAUAGAGAAAGAGAGGGAGGAUAGAGAGAGAGGGCAAAUAAAACGGCAAGGGUGAAGUGGGGGAGAGGAAAACUAGAGGCAAAUGGAAAAUAAUGUAAUGUGGGAGAUAAGGGUUUGUGAUGGGUACUUGGUAUGAUGACUUUUGCGUAGACCUCCCCGGCAACGGCGCCAGAAAUCCUUCUUGCUACCUCUUGAGCACUUGCGUUGGUUUUCCCUUGAAGAGGAAAGGGUGGUGCAGCAAAGUAGCGUAAGUAUUUCCCUUAGUUUUUGAGAACUAAGGUAUCAAUCCAGUAGGAGGCUACGUGCGAGUCCCCCGCACAUACACAAAACAAAUAAAUCCUCGCAACCAACGCGAUAAGGGGUUGUCAAUCCCUGCACAGUCACUUACGAGAGUGAGAUCUGAUAGAUAUGAUAAGAUAAUAAUUUUGGUAUUUUUAUGAUAAAGAUGCAAAGUAAAAUAAAAGCAAAAGAAAUAACUAAGUAUUGGAAGAUUAAUAUGAUGGAGAUAGACCCGGGGGCCAUAGGUUUCACUAGUGACUUCUCUCAAGAGCUUAAGUAUUUUACGGUGGGUGAACAAAUUACUAUUAAGCAAUUGACAGAAUUGAGCAUAGUUAUGAGAAUAUCUAGGUAUGAUCAUGUAUAUAGGCAUCACGUCCGAGACAAGUAGACCGACUCCUGCCUGCAUCUACUACUAUUACUCCACACAUCGACCGCUAUCCAGCAUGCAUCUAGAGUAUUAAGUUCAUAAGAAUAGAGUAACGCCUUAAGCAAGAUGACAUGAUGUAGAGGGAUAAACUCAAGCAACAUGAUGAAAGCCCCAUCUUGUUAUCCUCGAUGGCAACAAUACAAUACGUGCCUUGCUGCCCCUACUGUCACCGAGAAAGGACAUCGCAAGAUUGAACCCAAAGCUAAGCACUUCUCCCAUUGCAAGAAAGAUCAAUCUAGUAGGCCAAACCAAACUGAUAAUUCGAAGAGACUUGCAAAGAUAACCAAUCAUACAUAAAAUAUUCAGAGAAGAUUCAAAUAUUGUUCAUAGAUAAACUUGAUCAUAAACCCACAAUUCAUCGUUCUCAACAAACACACAACAAAAGAAGAUUACAUCAAAUAGAUCUCCACAAGAGAGGGGGAGAACUUUGUAUUGAGAUCCAAAAAGAGAGAAGAAGCCAUCUAGCUAAUAACUAUGGACCCAAAGGUCUGAGGUAAACUACUCACACUUCAUCGGAGAGGCUAUGGUGUUGAUGUAGAAGCCCUCCGUGAUCGAUGCCCCCUCCGGCGGAGCUCCGAAACAGGCCCCAAGAUGGGAUCUCGUGGAUACAGAAAGUUAUAGCGGUGGAAUUAGGGUUUUGGCUCAGUAUCUGAUCAUUUGGGGGUAUGUAGGUAUAUAUAGGAGGAAGAAGUACGUCGGUGCAGCAACAGGGGGCCCACGAGGGUGGAGGGCGCGCCUAGGGGGGGUAGGCGCGCCCCCUACCUCGUGGCCUCCCUGUUGGUUGCUUGACGUAAGGUCCAAGUCUCCUGGAUCUUGCUCGUUCCAAAAAUCAUGUUCCCGAAGGUUUCAUUCCGUUUGGACUCCGUUUGAUAUUCCUUUUCUUCGAAACCCUAAAAUAGGCAAAAAAACAGCAAUUCUGGGCUGGGCCUCCGGUUUAUAGGUUAGUCCCAAAAAUAAUAUAAAAAUGGAUAAUAAAACCCAAUAUUGUCCAAAACAGAAGAUAAUAUAGCAUGGAGCAAUAAAAAAUUAUAGAUACGUUGGAGACGUAUCAUAUAUAUAAAGAAUUUUUAUCUUGGAAAACAAGUAUACCAUAGGAAAACGGAGUCGGGAAGGCGCUCGAGGGGCCCACUACCCACCAGGGCGCGCCAGGUGGAGCAGGCGCGCCCUGGUGCCUAGUGGGUACCUGGGUUGCCUUCCCGGUUGCUUCUUAUUUUUUUAUUUUUUUUCUAAUAUUCCAAAACUGAAAGAAAAUAUUUUUGCGGAAUUUUUGGAGUCCGUUUACUUGCCGUAUCACAUACCUCUUCAUUUUUUAGGGUUCUGGAGUGUUCUAGACGGUUUCUUUUAUGUGUUUCUCUGGUGUCAUGGUUUGGAUAAUGUUAGUUUCAACAUUAAUAGGUGUACCUAAAAUAUAGUGGUUAAUUCUUUGUCCAUUGAACACUUUUGGAUUAGUGCAUUCAGCAUUAUUGAUCUUGAUAGCUCCGUUACGGUAAACUUCUUCGAUGAUAUAUGGUCCUUCCCAUGUUUUCCUGCAAAAUAUCUAAAACGAGAAUUGUAUAGUAGAACAUGUUCACCUGCUUUGAAUUCCCGCCUUUGGAUUCUCUUAUCAUGCCAUCUUUUAACCUUUUCCUUAAACAAAUUGGCAUUUUCAUAGGCUUGGGUUCUCCAUUCAUCUACUGAGCUAAUAUCAAAUAACCUCUUUUCACCGGCAAGUUUGAAAUCAUAAUGAGUUCUUUAAUUGCCCAAUAUGCUUUCUGUUCUAACUCAAGAGGCAAAUGAUAAGACUUUCCAUAAACCAUUUUGUAUGGAGACAUACCCAUAGGAUUCUUAUAUGCUGUUCUAUAGGCCCAAAGUAUGUCAUCAAGUUUCCUAGACCAAUUUCGGGACCUAUUGAUAGUUUUUUUAAUAUUAAUUUUAUUUCUCUAUUGCUCAACUCAACUUGACCACUAGAUUGAGGAUGAUAGGGUAAUGCAAUUAUAUGGUUGACAUCAUACUUAGCAAGCAAUUUACAGAAAUCACCAUUGAUUGCUUGUAUCUGUGUUGGUAUUUACCCGAAGAGGAGAGGAUGAUGCAGCACAACAACAAUAAGUAUGUCCCUCAGUUAUGAAACCAAGGUUAAUAAUCCAGUAGGAGAACCAAGCAACACUAUGUAAAUAGCACCUACACACAAAUAACAAAUACUUGCAACCCAACUCGUAAGAGGGUAUGUCAAUCCCUCCUCGGUAUUGAGAUAGAUUAAGUUGUAUAAGAUUGGAUAAAUAGAUCUGACAAAAGCACAAAAUAAAAUAAGUAAAGAAAAAUCGCAGCAAGGUAUUUUUGGUUUUUUGGAAAAAUAGAUCUAAAAAUAAUAUGAUAGGAAAUAGACCCGGGGUCCGUAGAUUUCACUAGUGGAUUCUCUCGAGAAAAUAGCAUACGAUGGAUAAACAAAUUAUUGUUGGGCAACUGAAAGAAGAACAAAUAAUUAUGACUAUAUCCAAGGCAAUGAUCAUGUAUAUAGGCAUCACGUCCAAGAUUAGUAGACCGACUCCUCCAUGCAUCUAUGACUAUUACUCCACACAUCAACUGCUAUCCAGCAUGCAUCUAGUGUAUUAAGUUCAUGGAAAAACGGAGUAAUGCAAUAACAAUGAUGACACGAUGUAGAUAAGAUCUAUUCAUGUAGGAAUAGACCCCAUCUUUUUAUCCUUAAUGGCAAUGAUACAUACAUGUCAUGUAUCCUUCUGUCACUGAGAAUGAGCACCGCAAGAUCGAACCCAUCACAAAGCACCUCUUCCCAUUGCAAGAAAAAUCAAUCUAGUUGGCCAAACCAAACCAAAGUUUCAGAGAAGGAAUACGAGGCUAUAAAGAUCAUGCAUAUAACAGUUCAACAAAGACCCAAACACUAGUAGAAAACGGGCCUUUAGUCCCGGUUCUGGAACCUGGACUAAAGGGUCAGGACUAAAGCCCAAACCCUUUAGUCCCGGUUUGCUUACGAACCGGGACUAAAGGAGCUCCACGUGGUUGGUUUCUGGAGCUUCACCUUUAGUCCCGGUUGGUAACACCAACCCAACUGGGACUAAAGGAAUUUUUUUUAAAAUUUGGUUUUUCUAAAUUAAAAAAAUGAUUUUUUUUUGAAUUUUUUCCUGAUUUUCAAAUUUCUGAAUUAUUUGACAAUUUAAUCUCUAAUCACCUCUCGCCACUACUCAAGUAUGUACCAGUCAUUCCAAAUCGUCUAACUUCCUAGCUGGUCACCCAUCCUCUCACUACCCCAGCCUAAGCACGCUUAACUUCUGAGUUCUAUUCUCCCUAGUUUCCAAGUCUGCACUUGUUGUUUUCCGGACAAUAGUAAGCUGUCAAUCCUAUUAACCCUUAGGAGUUGAACUUGAGCAUGAAGCACCAUUUGAGUUUGAAACUAUUAUUCUAAAAAAAUAAUUAAUUAGUAACACUGAUAUUUCUUGAAUAAGUUGUUUGACCAUAGUUUGACCAAAAAAUUAAAAAAACUUAAAUUUGAGGAUAACUUUUUUCCUUUCAGAAUUUGAGGAUUCUAAAAAUUUCCAAAACGGCCUAUGUCCAUAGAAAUCAGAACGGGAUUUUUGUGCUGAACAUUUUGAUAUUUAUACGGUUUUCGACAUCAUAUGCAAAAGUUAUAGUCGUUUUACUUUUUCAUAACACUGUUUUGCAAAACAUGUCGAAAUUUAUGCUUGUUAAUUUUCCUAACUAGUAGAUGUAGUUACAUUACUACAUCUCGAAGGAUUUUAUUUUUUGAAGUUUUUAUCAUUUUCUUUAGUUUUUUCAAAACUGAAAUGGCGAUAAGUGGGGGGGGGGUUGAUAACCCACAAGUAUAGGGGAUCGCAACAGAUUUCGAGGGUAGAGUAUUCAACCCAAAUUUAUUGAUUCGACACAAGGAGAGCCAAAGAAUAUUCUCAAGUAUUAGAAGCUGAGUUGUCAAUUCAACCACACCUGGAAACUUAAUAUUUGCAUCAAAGUGUUUAGUAGCAAAGUAAUAUGAUAGUAGUGGUAACGGUAGCAAAAGAUAACGGUAGCAAAAGUAAUAUUUUUGGUAUUUUGUAGUGAUGAUAACAAUAGCAACGGAAAAGUAAAUAAGCGAAGAACAAUAUAUGGAAAGCUCGUAGGCAUUGGAUCGAUGAUGGAGAAUUAUGCCGGAUGUGGUUCAUCAUGUAACAGUCAUAACAUAGGGUGACACAGAACUAGCUCCAAAUCAUCAAUGUAAUAUAGUCAUACAUGCUUAUGGAAAAGAACAUGCAUGACAUCUUUUGUCCUACCCUCCCGUGGCAGCGGGGUCCUAAUGGAAACUAAGGGAUAUUAAGGCCUCCUUUUAUUAGAGUACCGGACCAAAGCAUUAACACAUAGUGAAUACAUGAACUCCUCAAACUACGGUCAUCACCAGGAGUGGUCCCAACUAUUGUCACUUCGGGGUUGCCGGAUCAUAACACGUAGUAGGUGACUAUAGACUUGCAAAAUAGGAUCAAGAACUCACAUAUAUUCAUGAAGACAUAAUAGGUUCAGAUCUGAAAUCAUGGCACUCGGGCCCUAGUGACAAGCAUUAAGCAUAGCAAAGUCAUAGCAACAUCAAUCUCAGAACAUAGUGGAUACUAGGGAUCAAACCCUAACAAAACUAACUCGAUUACAUGAUAAAUCUCAUCCAACCCAUCACCGUCCAGCAAGCCUACGAUGGAAUUACUCACGCACGGCGGUGAGCAUCAUGAAAUUGGUGAUGGAGGAUGGUUGAUGAUGACGACGGCGAAGGAUUCCCCUCUCCGGAGCCCCGAACGGACUCCAGAUCAGCCCUCCCGAGAGAGUUUAGGGCUUGGCGGCGGCUCUGUAUCGUAAAACGCAAUGAAUCCUUCUUCUCUAUUUUUUUCUCCCCGAACACGAAUAUAUGGAGUUGGAGUUGAGGUCGGUGGAGCUCCAGGGGGCCCGCGAGGUAGGGGGCGUGCCCCCACCCUCGUGGCUAGGGUGUGGGGCCCCUGGCCUUGAUUCUUUGCCAGUAUUUUUUAUUAUUUCCAAAAAUAAUCUCCGUGGAGUUUUAGGUCAUUCCGAGAACUUUUGUUUCUGCACAUAAAUAACACCAUGGCAAUUCUGCUGAAAACAGCGUCAGUCCGGGUUAACAAGGGCAAAAGUGUUUGGAAAAGCAGAUACGACGGAGACGUAUCAACUCCCCCAAGCUUAAACCUUUGCUUGUCCUCAAGCAAUUCAGUUGACAAACUGAAAGUGAUAAAGAAAAACUUUUACAAACUCUGUUUGCUAGCAUUCAAGUUUUCAGCAAAGAUUAUGAACUAACCAUAUUCACCAUAACUCUUAGGUCUCAUGUUUACUCAUAUCAAUGGCAUAAUCAACUAGCGAGCAAUAAUAAUAAAUCUUGAAUGACAACACUUUAUCAAAAUAAUCAUAAUAUGAUAUAACAAGAUGGUAUCUCGCUAGCCCUUUCUGAGACUGCAAAACAUAAAUGCAGAGCACCUUUAAAGAUCUAGGACUGACUAGACAUUGUAAUUCAUGGUAAAAGAGAUCCAGUCAAGUCAUACUCAAUGUAAACUAACGGUAAUGAAUGCAAAUGACAGUGGUGCUCUCCAAUUGGUGCUUUUUAAUAAGAGGAUGAUGACUCAGCAUAAAAGUAAAUAGAUAGGACCUUCGCAGAGGGAAGCAGGGAUUUGUAGAGGUGCCAGAGCUCGAUUUUGAAAUAGAGGUGAAUAAUAUUUUGAGCGGUAUACUUUCAUUGUCAACAUAACAACCGAGAGAUGGUGAUAUCUUCCAUGCUACACACAUUAUAGGCGGUUCCCAAACAGAAUGGUAAAGUUUAUACUCCCCCUUCCACCAACAAGCAUCAAUCCAUGGCUUGCUCGAAACAACGAGUGCCUCCAACUAACAAGAGUCCCAGGGGGAGUUUUGUUUGCAAUUAUUUUGAUUUAGUUUGCAUAAAGCAUGGGACUGGGCAUCCCGGUGACCAGCCAUUUAUCUCGUGAGUGAGGAGCGGAGUCCACUCCUCUUGAGAAUAACCCGCCUAACAUGGAAGAUACAGACAGCCCUAGUUGAUACAUGAGCUAUUCGAGCAUACAAAACAGGAUAUUUAUUUGAAGGUUUAGAGUUUGGCACAUACAAAUUUACUUGGAACGGCAGGUAGAUGCCGUAUAUAGGUAGGUAUAGUGGACUCAUGUGGAAUAACUUUGGGGUUUAUGGGAUUGGAUGCACAAGCAGUAUUCCCGCUUAGUACAGGUGAAGGCUAGAAAAAGACUAGGAAGCGACCAGCUAGAGAGCGACAACAGUCAUGAACAUGCAUUAAAAUUAAUCAACGCCGAAUGCAAGCAUGAGUAGGAUAUAAUGCACUAUGAACAUAAAUAUCAUAGAGGCUAUGUUGAUUUUGUUUCAACUACAUGCAUGAACAUGUGACAAGUCAAGCCACUCAAAUCGUUCAAAAGAGGAUACCACCCUAUCAUACCACAUCAGAACCAUUUUAAUAGCAUGUUGGCACACAAGGUAAACCAUUAUAAGCUCCUAGCUAAUUAAGCAUGGCAUAAGCAACUAUAAUCUCUAAUUGUCAUUGCAAACAUGUUUAUUCAUAAUAGGCUGAAUCAGGAACGAUGAACUAGUCAUAUUUACAAAAAAAAAA
RNAcentral lists this long non-coding RNA (49515 nucleotides) under Triticum aestivum (bread wheat). RNAcentral's name for it is "long non-coding RNA (TAES_LNC006507)". The record is from RNAcentral. Lineage: Eukaryota; Viridiplantae; Streptophyta; Magnoliopsida; Poales; Poaceae.